This 48930-nucleotide long non-coding RNA is filed under the name Hordeum vulgare. Its description in RNAcentral is "long non-coding RNA (HVUL_LNC003089)". The record is from RNAcentral. Lineage: Eukaryota; Viridiplantae; Streptophyta; Magnoliopsida; Poales; Poaceae.
CACUGAGGUUCAAACGAUAAGAUCUUCGUAGAAUAUGUGGGAUCCAAUAUGGGCAUCCAGGUCCCGCUAUUGGAUAUUGACCGAGGAGUCACUCGGGUCAUAUCUACAUAGUUCACGAACCCGCAGGGUCUGCACACUUAAGGUUCGACGUUGUUUUAUGCGUAUUUGAGUUAUAUGGUUGGUUACCGAAUGUUGUUCGGAGUCCCGGAUGUGAUCACGGAUGUCACGAGGGUUUCCGGAAUGGUUCGGAAACGAAGAUUGAUAUAUAGGAUGACCUCAUUUGAUUACCGGAAGGUUUUCGGAGUUANNNNNNNNNNNNNNNNNNNNNNNNNNNNNNNNNNNNNNNNNNNNNNNNNNNNNNNNNNNNNNNNNNNNNNNNNNNNNNNNNNNNNNNNNNNNNNNNNNNNAUCAUCCUCUUGACUUAAGCUUUGAAAAAAAAGCAUAUGUGAAAUCAAAACAAAUGAUAAAUAUUUUCAAUAGGUGUCAGAAAGAAAGGCUUAAAAACCCUCGAGGCUAUGCCACGAAGAAAAAAUAGCAACAGCAAUUUCGUCGGCUCAUAAGGUCGUGACAGGAUGAGGCGAGUCAGAAAGCUCAUGCACCCACCUUAAAUGCAGGUUUCGUCGGCUCAUAAGGUCGCGACAGGAUGAGGCGAGUUAGAAAGCUCGUGCACACACCCUAAAUGCAGGUUUCGUCGGCUCAUAAGGUCGCGACAGGAUGAGGCGAGUCAGAAAGCUCAAGCACACACCCUAAAUGCAGGUUUCGUCGGCUCAUAAGGCCACGACAGGAUGAGGCGAGUCAGAAAGCUCAAGCACACACCCUAAAUGCAGGUUUCGUCGGCUCAUAAGGUCGCGACAGGAUGAGGCGAGUCAGAAAGCUCAAGCACACACCCUAAAUGCAGGUUUCGUCGGCUCAUAAGGUCGCGACAGGAUGAGGCGAGUCAGAAAGCUCAAGCACACACCCUAAAUGCAGGUUUCGUCGGCUCAUAAGGUCGCGACAGGAUGAGGCGAGUCAGAAAGCUCAAGCACACACCCUAAAUGCAGGUUUCGUCGGCUCAUAAGGUCGCGACAGGAUGAGGCGAGUCAGAAAGCUCAAGCACACACCCUAAAUGCAGGUUUCGUCGGCUCAUAAGGUCGCGACAGGAUGAGGCGAGUCAGAAAGCUCAAGCACACACCCUAAAUGCAGGUUUCGUCGGCUCAUAAGGUCGCGACAGGAUGAGGCGAGUCAGAAAGCUCAAGCACACACCCUAAAUGCAGGUUUCGUCGGCUCAUAAGGUCGCGACAGGAUGAGGCGAGUUAGAAAGCUCAAGCACACACCCUAAAUGCAGGUUUCGUCGGCUCAUAAGGUCGCGACAGGAUGAGGCGAGUCAGAAAGCUCAAGCACACACCCUAAAUGCAGGUUUCGUCGGCUCAUAAGGUCGCGACAGGAUGAGGCGAGUCAGAAAGCUCAAGCACACACCCUAAAUGCAGGUUUCGUCGGCUCAUAAGGUCGCGACAGGAUGAGGCGAGUCAGAAAGCUCAAGCACACACCCUAAAUGCAGGUUUCGUCGGCUCAUAAGGUCGCGACAGGAUGAGGCGAGUCAGAAAGCUCAAGCACACACCCUAAAUGCAGGUUUCGUCGGCUCAUAAGGUCGCGACAGGAUGAGGCGAGUCAGAAAGCUCAAGCACACACCCUAAAUGCAGGUUUCGUCGGCUCAUAAGGUCGCGACAGGAUGAGGCGAGUCAGAAAGCUCAAGCACACACCCUAAAUGCAGGNNNNNNNNNNNNNNNNNNNNNNNNNNNNNNNNNNNNNNNNNNNNNNNNNNNNNNNNNNNNNNNNNNNNNNNNNNNNNNNNNNNNNNNNNNNNNNNNNNNNCCGUUGUGGUGUUUGCGUAAGUAAGAUGCGAUCCUACUAGAUACCCAUGGUCACCACGUAAAACAUGCAACAACAAAAUUAGAGGACGUCUAACUUGUUUUUGCAGGGUAUGCUUGUGAUGUGAUAUGGCCAACGAUGUGAUGUGAUAUACUGGAUGUAUGAGAUGAUCAUGUUUUAAUAGAUAAUAUCGACUUGCACGUCGAUGGUACGGCAACCGGCAGGAGCCAUAGGGUUGUCUUUAUAACUAACGUUUGUGCUUGCAGAUGCGUUUACUAUUUUGCUAGGAAGUAGCUUUAGUAGUAAUAGCAUCAGUAGCAAGACAACCCCGAUGGCCACACGUUGAUGGAGAUCAUGAUGAUGGAGAUCAUGGUGUGCCGCCGGUGACAAGAAGAUCGUGCCGGUGCUUUGGUGAUGGAGAUCAAGAAGCACGUGAUGAUGGCCAUAUCAUGUCACUAAUAAAUUGCAUGUGAUGUUAAUCCUUUUAUGCACCUUAUUUUGCUUAGAACGAUGGUAGCAUUAUGAGGUGAUCUCUCACUAAAAUUUCAAGAAGAAAUUGUGUUCUCCCUGACUGUGCACCGUUGCUACAGUUCGUCGUUUCGAGACACCACGUGAUGNNNNNNNNNNNNNNNNNNNNNNNNNNNNNNNNNNNNNNNNNNNNNNNNNNNNNNNNNNNNNNNNNNNNNNNNNNNNNNNNNNNNNNNNNNNNNNNNNNNNUGCAUGUUUUACGUGGUGACCAUGGGUAUCUAGUAGGAUCGCAUCUUACUUACGCAAACACCACAACGGAGAUAUAUGAGUUGCUAUUUAACCUCAUCCAAGGACCUCCUCGGUCAAAUCCGAUUCAACUAAAGUUGGAGAAACAGUCACUUGCCAGUCAUCUUUGAGCAAAGGGGGUUACUCGUAACGAUGAAACCAGUCUCUCGUAAGCGUACGAGUAAUGUCGGUCCAAGCCGCUUCAAUCCAACAAUACCGCGGAAUCAAGAAAAGACUAAGGAGGGCAGCAAAACGCACAUCACCGCCCACAAAACCUUUUGUGUUCUACUCGAGAAGACAUCUACGCAUGAACCUAGCUCAUGAUGCCACUGUUGGGGAACGUCGCAUGGGAAACAAAAAUNUUUCCUACGCGCACGAAGACCUAUCAUGGUGAUGUCCAUCUACGAGAGGGGAUGAGUGAUCUACGUACCCUUGUAGAUCGUACAGCAGAAGCGUUAGUGAACGCGGUUGAUGUAGUGGAACGUCCUCACGUCCCUCGAUCCGCCCCGCGANNNNNNNNNNNNNNNNNNNNNNNNNNNNNNNNNNNNNNNNNNNNNNNNNNNNNNNNNNNNNNNNNNNNNNNNNNNNNNNNNNNNNNNNNNNNNNNNNNNNUGUAGAGCAUCUUUAUAGUCACCCAGUUACGUUGCGACGUUUGAUACACACAAAGCAUUCCUCCGGUGUCCGUGAGUUAUAUGAUCUCAUGGUCAUAGGAACAAAUACUUGACACGCAGAAAACAGUAGCAACAAAAUGACACGAUCAACAUGCUACGUCUAUCAGUUUGGGUCUAGUCCAUCACAUGAUUCUCCUAAUGAUGUGAUCCCGUUAUCAAGUGACAACACUUGCCUAUGGCCAGGAAACCUUGACCAUCUUUGAUCAACGAGCUAGUCAACUAGAGGCUUACUAGGGACAGUGUUUUGUCUAUGUAUCCACACAAGUAUUGUGUUUCCAAUCAAUACAAUUAUAGCAUGGAUAAUAAAUGAUUAUCAUGAACUAAGAAAUAUAAUAAUAACUAAUUUAUUAUUGCCUCUAGGGCAUAUUUCCAACAGUCUCCCACUUGCACUAGAGUCAAUAAUCUAGUUCACAUCACCAUGUGAUUCCAACGAAUCCAACACCCAUAUAGUUAUGGGGUCUGAUCACGUCUUGCUCGUGAGAGAGGUUUUAGUCAACGGUUCUGAAACUUUCAGAUUCGUGUGUUCUUUCCAAAUCUUUAUGUCAUCUUAUAGAUGCUGCUACUACGUGCUAUUCGGAAAUGCUCCAAAUAUCUACUCUACUAUACGAAUCCGUUUCACUACUCAUAGUUAUCCGGAUUAGUAUCAAAGCUUGCAUUGACGUAACCCUUUACGACAAACUCUUUAACCACCUCCAUAAUCGAGAAAAAUUCCUUAGUCCAUUAGUUACUAAGGAUAAAUUUCGACCGCUGCUAGUGAUUCAAUCAUGGAUCACUCUCUGUACCUCUCAACAUACUUUGAGUCAAGGCACACUUCAGGUGCGGUACACAGCAUGACAUACUUUAGAUUCUACGGCUAAGGCAUAGAAGACGACCUUCGUCUAUUCUCUUUAUUCUGCCGUGGUCGGGUUUUGAGUCUUACUCAAAUUCACACCUCACAACGCAACCAAGAACUCCUUCUUUGCUGGUCUAUUUUGAACUCUUUCAAAAACUUGUCAAGGCAUGCAUCUUGUUGAAACUUCUAUUAAGCGCUUUCGAUCUAUCUCCAUAGAUCUUUGAUGCUCAACGUUCAAGUAGCGUAAUCCAGGUACUCCUUUGAAAACUUCUUUCAAACAACCUUGUAUGCUUUACAGAAAUUCUACAUUACUUCUGAUCCACAAUAUGUCAACCACAUAUACCUAUCAGAAAUUCUAUAGUGCUCCCACUCACUUCUUUGGAAAUACAAGUUUCUCAUAAACCUUGUACACACCCAAAAUCUUUGAUCAUCUCAUCAAAGUGCUUAUUCCAACUCCGAGAUGCUUGCACCAGUCCAUUGAAGGAUCACUGGAGCUUGCAUACUUGCUAGUAUCUUUAGGAUCGACAAAACCUUCUGGUUGUAUCACAUACAAUGUUUGCUCAAGGAAACCGUCGAGGAAACAAUGUUUUGACAUCCUACGUGCAAUAUUUCAUAAAUAAUGCAGCAACUACUAACAUAAUUCUAACAGACCUUUAGCAUCGCUACGAGUGAGAAAGACUCAUCAUAGUCAACUGUUUGAUCUUGUCGAAAACAUCUUUGCGACAAGUCGAGCUUUUCUUAAUAGUGACUUAUCACCAUCAUCGUCUGUCUUCUUUUAAAGAUCCAUUUUACCCAAUAGUCCCAUGACCAUCAAGUAGUUCUACCAAAGUCUACACUUUGUUUUCACACAUGGAUCCUCUCUCGAAUUUUAUGGCUUCCAGCCAUUUGUCGGAAUCUGGGCCCACCAUCGCUUUCUCCAUAACUCGUAGGUUCACUGUUGCUCAACAACAUGACCUCCAAGACAGGGUUACCGUACUACUCUGCAGCAGUACGCGACCUUGUCGACCUACGAGGUUUGUAGUAACUUGAUUCGAAGCUUAAUGAUCACCAUCAUCAGCUUCCACUUCAAUUGGUGUAGGCGCCACAGGAACAACUUCCUAUGCCCUGCUACACACUGGUUGAAGUGAUGGUUCAAUAACCUCAUCAAGUUCUACUACCCUCCCACUCAAUUCUUUCGAGAGAAACCUUUUCUCGAGAAAGGAUCCGUUUCUAGAAACAAACACUUUGCUUUUGGAUCUGAGAUAGGAGAUGUACCCAACUGUUUUGGAUAUCCUGUGAAGAUGCAUUUAUCCGCUUUGGGUUCGAGCUUAUCAGACUGAAACUUUUUCACAUAAGUUUCGAAGCCCCAAACUUUCAAGAAACGACAGUUUAGAUUUCUCUAAACCUCAGUCUAUACUGUGUCAUGUCAACGGAAAUACGCGGUGCCCCAUUUAAAGUGAAUGUGGUUGUCUCCAAUGCAUAACCCAUAAACGAUAGUGGUAAUUCGAUAAGAGACAUCCCAGCAUGCACCAUACUAAAUAGUGCGUGGCUAUGACGUUCAGACACAUCAUCACACCAUGAUGUUCCAGGUGGCAUGAACUGUGAAACAAUUUCCACAUUGUCUUAACUGUGUACCAAAAAUUCGUAACUCAGAUAUUCAUUUCUAUGAUCAUAUCGUAGACAGUUCAUCCUCUUGUUACGACGAACUUCACUCUGAAACAGAAUUGAACUUUUCAAUAUUUCAGACUUGUGAUUCAUUAAGUAAAUACUCCUGUAUCUACUCAAGUCGUCAGUGAAGUAAGAACAUAAUGAUAUCCACUGCGUGCCUCAACACUCACUGGACUGCAUACAUCAAAAUGUAUCACUUCCAACAAGUUACUAUCUUGUUUCAUCUCAAUGAAAACAAGGCCUUGCUCAUGUGGUAUGAUUUGCAUGUCACUAGUGAUUCGAAAUCAGGUGAGUAAAGAUCCAUCAGCAUGGAGCCUCUUCAUGCAAUUUAUACUAACAUGACUCAAGCGGCAGUGCCACAAGUAAGUGGUACUAUCAUCAUUUAACUCGUAUCUUUUGGCACCAAUGUGUAACACUACAAUCGAGAUUCAAUAAACCAUUGAAGGUGAUUAUUCAAGCAAAUAGAGUAACCAUUAUUCCUUUUGAAUGAAUAAUCGUAUUGCAAUAAACACGAUCCAAUCAUGUUCAUGCUUAACGCAAGCACCAAAUAACAAUUAUUUAGGUUCAACACCAAUCCCGAUGGUAAAGGGGGCGUGUGACGUUUGAUCAUAUCAACCUUGGAAACACUUCCAACACGUAUCGUCACCUCGCCUUUAGCUAGUCUCCGUUUAUGCCGUAGCUUUCAUUUCGCGUUACUAAUCACUUAGAAACCGAACCAGUAUCCAAUACCCUCGUGCUACUAGGAGUACUAGUAAAGUACACAUCAACAUUAUGUAUAUCAAAUAUACUUCUCUCGACUUUUGCCAGCCUUCUUAUCUACCAAGUAUCUAGAGUUUCUCCGCCUCAGUGACUGUUCCCCUUAUUACGGAAGCACUUAGUCUCGGGUUUGGGUUUAAUCUUGGGUCUCUUCAUUAGUGCAGCAACUGUUUUGCCGUUUCACGAAGUAUCCCUUCUAGCCCUCGCCUUUCUUGAAACUUAGUGGGGGGGGGACUAUUGAUGCUCCUUCUUGAUUUCUACUUUCGCAGUGUCAAACGUCGCGAAUCUCUCAAAGAUCAUUGUAUCUAUCCUUGAUAUGUUAUAGUUCAUCACGAAGCUCUCAAAGCUUGGUGGCAGUGACUUUUGGAGAACCAUCACUAUCUCAUCUGGAAGAUUAGCUCCCACUUGAUUCAAGUGAUUGUCGUACUCAGACAAUCUGAGCACACGCUCAACGAUUGAGCUUUUCUCCUUUACUUUGUGGUCAAAGAAUUUUGUUGGAGGUCUCGUACCUCUUAACAAGGGCACAAGCAUGAAAUCACAAUUUCAUCUCUUUAGAACAUCACUUAUGUUCCGUGACGUUUUAUAACGUUUUCGGAGCCUUGCUUCUAAGCCAUUAAGUAUAUUUGAACUGAACUAUCGUGUAGUCAUCAGAAACGUGUAUGUCGGAUGUUCACAGCAUCCACAGACGACGCUCGAGGUGCAGCACACCGAGUGGUGCAUUAAGGACAUAAGCCUUCUACGCAGCAACGAGGACAAUCCUCGGUUUUACAGACUCAGUCUGCAAAGUUUGCUACUAUCAAUUUUCAACUAAAUUUUCUCUAGGAACAUAAAAAAACAGUAGAGCUAUAGCGCAAGCUACAUCGUAAUUCGCAAAGACCAUUAGACUAUGUUCAUGAAAAUUAGUUCAAUUAAUCAUAUUACUUAAGAACUCCCACUCAAAAAGUACAUCUCUCUAGUCAUUUGAGUGGUACAUGAUCCAAAUCCACUAUCUCAAGUCCGAUCAUCAAGUGAGUCGAGAAUAGUUUCAGUGGUAAGCAUCACUAUGCUAAUCAUAUCAACUAUACGAUUCAUGCUCGACCUUUCGGUCUCAUGUGUUCCGAGGCCAUGUCUGCACAUGCUAGGCUCGUCAAGCUUAACCCGAGUGUUCUGCGUGUGCAACUGUUUUGCACCCGUUGUAUGUGAACGUUGAGUCUAUCACACCCGAUCAUCACGUGGUGUCUCGAAACGAAGAACUGUCGCAACGGUGCACAGUCGGGGAGAACACAACUUCGUCUUGAAAUUUUAGUGAGAGAUCACCUCAUAAUGCUACCGUCGUUCUAAGCAAAAUAAGGUGCAUAAAAGGAUUAACAUCACAUGCAAUUCAUAAGUGACAUGAUAUGGCCAUCAUCACGUGCUUCUUGAUCUCCAUCACCAAAGCACCGGCACGAUCUUCUUGUCACCGGCGCCACACCAUGAUCAUCCAUCAACGUGUUGCCAUCGGGGUUGUCGUGCUACUUAUGCUAUUACUACUAAAGCUACAUCCUAGCAAAAUAGUAAACGCAUCUGCAAGCACAAACGUUAGUUAUAAAGACAACCCUAUGGCUCCUGCCGGUUGCCGUACCAUCGACGUGCAAGUCGAUAUUUCUAUUACAACAUGAUCAUCUCAUACAUCCAAUAUAUCACAUCACAUCGUUGGCCAUAUCACAUCACAAUCAUACCCUGCAAAAACAAGUUAGACGUCCUCUAAUUUUGUUGUUUGCAUGUUUUACGUGGUGACCAUGGGUAUCUAGUAGGAUCGCAUCUUACUUACGCAAACACCACAACGGNNNNNNNNNNNNNNNNNNNNNNNNNNNNNNNNNNNNNNNNNNNNNNNNNNNNNNNNNNNNNNNNNNNNNNNNNNNNNNNNNNNNNNNNNNNNNNNNNNNNAUCAUCCUCUUGACUUAAGCUUUGAAAAAAAAGCAUAUGUGAAAUCAAAACAAAUGAUAAAUAUUUUCAAUAGGUGUCAGAAAGAAAGGCUUAAAAACCCUCGAGGCUAUGCCACGAAGAAAAAAUAGCAACAGCAAUUUCGUCGGCUCAUAAGGUCGUGACAGGAUGAGGCGAGUCAGAAAGCUCAUGCACCCACCUUAAAUGCAGGUUUCGUCGGCUCAUAAGGUCGCGACAGGAUGAGGCGAGUUAGAAAGCUCGUGCACACACCCUAAAUGCAGGUUUCGUCGGCUCAUAAGGUCGCGACAGGAUGAGGCGAGUCAGAAAGCUCAAGCACACACCCUAAAUGCAGGUUUCGUCGGCUCAUAAGGUCGCGACAGGAUGAGGCGAGUUAGAAAGCUCAAGCACACACCCUAAAUGCAGGUUUCGUCGGCUCAUAAGGUCGCGACAGGAUGUGGCGAGUCAGAAAGCUCAAGCACACUCCCUAAAUGCAGGUUUCGUCGGCUCAUAAGGUCACAACAGGAUGACACAAUUGCUCUGUAAUGAAGAAGCCCCAAGCCAGGGAGUAUUUGUAACUUUAUUACUUCAUAAUGAAAUUGAAAAACUUACAAAGUGUAGACCUUAAGAGCUCAAGUGUAAUAAUGCCGCAGAUGGGCAAUAUUCCAGGGGCGAGUUGACUCAGCCUCCGUGGUUGGCCGAUUAGGCCGGAGAUCCACCAAAUAAUAAGAGCCAUUAUGGAGAUUCUUGCUGACGAUGAACGGCCCUUCCCAAGGUGGUGACAACUUGUGCAUGCCGACUCGAUCUUGUAUCAACCGAAGAACCAAGUCGCCUUCCUGAAAAGUCCGACUCUUAACCCGGUAACUAUGGUAACGCCGCAGAUCCUGCUGGUAGAUAGCCGAACGAGCCGCAACCAGGUCACGUGCCUCCUCUAAGGCGUCCAAAGAGUCUUGACGCGCCAGCUCAUUGUCCUGUUCCACAUAUGCGGCGACUCUAAGUGAGUCAUGCCUUAUGUCAGUAGGGAGAACAGCCUCUGCUCCGUAGACCAGAAAGAAAGGGGUGAAACCCGUGGAUCGGUUCGGGGUGGUCCGAAUACUCCACAACACCGAAGGUAAUUCUUCAACCCAACAUCCUGGGGGUUUUUCCAGGGGAACCAUGAGUCGGGGCUUAAUCCCCCGCAAAACCUCCUGAUUCGCCCUCUCUGCCUGCCCAUUAGAUUGUGGGUGAGUGACUGCAGAAACAUCAAGUCGGAUAUGUUCUCGACGACAAAACUCCUGCAUCGCCCCUUGGGACAAGUUAGUACCAUUAUCAGUAAUGAUACUAAGCGGACAUCCAAACCGGAAAAUCAGCCUUUUCAAGAAUUUGACCGCCGUUUCCGCAUCGCAAGCUCCAACAGGUUCCGCCUCAACCCACUUGGUGAACUUGUCAACCGCCACCAACAAGUGGGUCUUCUUGUUAGAGGACAUUUUAAAGGGGCCGACCAUGUCCAGCCCCCAGACUGCAAAAGGCCAAGUAAUGGGAAUCAUUCUUAAUUCUUGAGCCGGCACAUGAACCUGCCUCCCAUAACGCUGGCACCCUUCGCACCGACGAACUAUAUCCUCUGCAUCUGCUUGAGCCGUCCGCCAAAAGAAACCAUGACGGAAAGCCUUCGAUACCAAAGAACGUGACCCGGCAUGAUGCCCACAAUCUCCGGAAUGAAUGUCAUUUAAGAUUAUGCAUCCUUCUUUAGAGGAAACACAUCGUUGAAAGACUCCAGAGGUGCUCCGUUUAUAUAACUCGCCAUUGAUGAUGACCAUGGAUUUGCUGCGCCGGACGAUUUGGUGAGCCAAAACUUUGUCGGCCGGUAACUCGCCCCGAGCGAGAUAAGCCAGGUAAGGGAGAACCCAAUCCGGAGUGACAUGGAGGGCCGCCACGAGCUGAGACUCAUGAUCUGGUAUCGCCAAUUCCUCCUCUGAUGGUAAAAUCACAGAUGGUUUAUGUAAAAUAUCCAGAAAAACAUUAGGAGGGACCGACUUUCUCUGGGAGCCAAGUCGUGAGAGGGCGUCAGCUGCCUCAUUGAGGCGCCGAUCAAUAUGGUCCACCUGGUAGCCAUGAAAAUGACCCGCCACAUCAGACACAGCCCGCCUGUAGGCCGCCAUCGUAGGGUCCCGAGAAUCCCAGGUACCCGAAACUUGCUGUGCCACCAAAUCAGAGUCGCCAAAACAUCUGACCCGUGUUAGAUUCAUCUCCUUGGCGAGUCGCAAGCCGUGAAGCAGGGCUUCGUAUUCCGCUGCAUUGUUAGUGCGUGGAAACACGAGUCGGAGAACGUAACAGCACUUAUCUCCUUGAGGGGAUACCAACACCACACCAGCCCCCGAGCCUUCCAGCAGCCUAGACCCAUCAAAAUAAAUAGUCCAGUAAGUGAGAUCGGGCCGGUCCUCCGGAGCCUGUAACUCCGUCCAGUCGUUGACGAAAUCAACCAAUGCUUCGGACUUGAUGGCAGUGCGGGGAGCAUACUGUAUGUGAUGGGGCCCAAGUUCUAUCGCCCACUUGGCGAUUCGCCCUGUUGCCUCCCGAUUCUGGAUGAUGUCCCCAAGGGGGCAGAGCUUAUCACUGUGAUAGGGUGUUCUUGGAAAUAAUGCUUAAGUUUUCGGCUCACCAUAAACACCCCAUACACCAAUUUCUGCCAGUGUGGGUACCGCUGCUUGGAAAGAGUUAGCAUCUCACUGAUAAAAUAUACCGGGCGUUGCACUGGGUAUUCCUUCCCUUCCUCUUUUCUCUCAACGACCACUGCCACACUUACUGCUUUGGAAUUUGCCGGGACAUACAGAAGCAUGGGCUCUUUUUCAGUCGGGGUGGCCAGAACUGGCGGGUUGACUAAUUGGCGCUUCAGGGCUUCGAGCGCCUCGUCUGCCUUGUUUGUCCAAACAAAUCGAUCGGAUCUCCUCAACAACUGAUAAAGCGGGAUCGCCUUCUCCCCCAGGCGACUCACGAAACGACUUAGGGCCGCAAUGCGACCCGCCAGUCGCUGAACUUGAUUAACGUUCGCCGGCUUUCCAAGGGACGUAAGUGCUUCGAUCUUGUCCGGAUUAGCUUCAAUGCCGCGCUCCGAUACCAGGAAACCCAGCAAUUUCCCUGCAGGCACACCAAAAACACAUUUGGUGGGAUUUAGCUUCAUCUGAUACACCCGUAGAUUGUCGAAUGUUUCUUUGAGGUCCUCCAGUAGUGUCUCCCCCUGGCGGGUCUUGAUCACAAUAUCGUCGACAUAAGCAUGGACGUUGCGACCAAUUUGGUUACGAAGACAAUUCUGUAUGCAGCGUUCAUAAGUCGCCCCCGCACUCUUGAGUCCAAAGGGCAUGGACACAUAACAAAAGGCCCCGAAGGGGGUUAUGAAGGCAGUUUUCUCUUGAUCUUCCACGACCAUCUUGAUUUGGUGAUAUCCCGAAUAGGCAUCCAGAAAGCACAAUCGUUCGCAUCCCGCCACCGAGUCAAUGAUUUGGUCGAUGCAGGGAAGAGCGAAGGGAUCUUUUGGACAAGCUCUGUUGAGGUCCGUGUAGUCAAUACACAUAUGAAAAGUACCAUUUUUCUUGAGUACCAAAACCGGGUUAGCCAGCCAUUUGGGGUGAAAAACUUCCAUGAUGAACUCGACGGCUAAAAGAUGGGGGACUUCUUCCCCAAUCGCCUUGCGUCACUCCUCGUUAAAUCUGCGAAGGUAUUGCUGGAUAGGUUUGCACUUUGGGUCAAUAUUAAGAUGGUGCUCAGCGAAUUCUCUCCGCACACCAGGUAUGUCAAAAGGUUUCCAUGCAAAGAUGUCCCGAUUCUCACGGAUGAAUUCGAUGAGCACGCUUUCCUAUUUGGGGUCCAGACCCGUCGCAAUGGUGAAUUGCUUGGAUGAAUCGCCAGGCACGAAAUCGAUUGUCUUAGUGUCAUCCGUUGGUUUGAACUUGAGAGGCGACUCAGAGUCUGUAGUUGGCUUCUUCAGGGGUGACAUGUCUGUCGGGUCAACAUUGGCCCGAUGGUGUUUGAGCUCUUCCGCAGCACAGGCGACUUCCGCAUAAGCCGCAUCCCCUUCUUCACAUUCCUUUGCGAUCCUUCUAUCUCCAUCAACUGUGAUGGGUCCUUUGGGACCAGGCAUUUUUAGCUUGAGGUAGACAUAGCACGGGCGAGCCAUGAUGCGGGCGUAAGCCGGUCGCCCAAACAGCGCAUGGCAGGGGCUUUUCAAUUUGAUCACUUCGAAGAUUAGAGACUCCGACCUAUAAUUCUAUGCAGUUCCAAAUGCCACUGUGAGCCUGACCCGGCCUAUGGGAUAAGCCGUCUUGCCCGGGACAAUUCCGUGGAAAACUGUGGUUGAAGGCAUCAAGUCUUUCUCCAAUAGAUUCAUCCUUUGGAAGGUGUCGAAGUAUAGGAUAUUGAUGCUGCUGCCACCAUCCAUUAGUACCUUUGAUAGGGUGUAACCCCCCACUUGGGGAGCCACGACCAACGCCAGAUCGCCCAGGUUAUCUACUCUCGGCGGGUGAUCCUCCCUGCUCCAUGUUAUGGUCUGCUCAGACCAAUGGAGGUAUCUGGGAAUCGCCGGUUCAGAUACACUGUACGCUCGGUGACUCACCUUCUUAUCAAGCAUGCAAGCAUUAGUGGUAAAAACGUGGUACUGCCCGUUACUUAACUGUUUGGGAUUGCUACGGAAGCCCCCAUUAUUGUCCUGACCCUCCGGAGCCCCCUGUGGGGGUGGCUGCUGGAAGACCCCUGGCGGGUUGUACCGCCGCUGGUGGUGUACCGGGUAUUGGCCGCUGCCUGGCUGCGGGCCUCCCUGAGCCCCCUGCUCAGGGAAUCCGCCGAAGGGGUUCUGUCUUCGUUUUGACUCUUCUAGAUUGCCUCCGCCCGAAACUCUCGCAUCACGAAGCAGUUUUCCCAAGAGUGGCUCGCCGGGCCAUCGGUCGUCGCGUGGUGUGGGCAAGGGCCCUUGAGUAGCUCUUCAUAGUUACGCGGCCUCUUCCCACUGAAACCUUGAUUCUUCUUCUUGCCGUUAUUAGCGUUGGUAUUGGCGACUAAGUCCGAGGGAUCCUCCUGUGGUCUCCGCUUGUCAUUGGUCCCUUGAUUGUGACGGUUACGCCCCUGGAACCGGGUAUGAUUUUUGGAUGACUCGCGCUUCUUAGGCGAAUUAGCCUUGCCAUCCUCGCCGGGAUCUUUGGUAUCAUCGGCCUCGGCAUAUCUAGUGAGGGUGUCCAUCACCUCGCCCAUGUCUUGGACCUUUCGUUUGAGCCGCCCUAAUUUCUGUACCAAGGGUUCGUAAUGACAACUGUGCUCGAGGAUGAGCACAGCUUGAGCCGCCGUAAUACCAUCUGACGAAUGAAUAAUUUCUGCAACCCGCCGUGACCAAUGGUGGGCCGACUCAUCUGGGCGCUGAACACAGUGCUGUAGAUCGACGAUCGUCAUCGAAUGUUUGCAGGUUCCUCGGAAGUUUUUGAUGAAACGUUCCUUUAACUCGGCCUAGGACUGGAUGGAAUUGGGAGGCAAGUAUUUCAACCAAGUGCGUGCCGACCCCUCGAGCAUCAUUGUGAAGUAUCUGGCGCAAACCGCCUCGUUUACGUCGAGCAUGUCCAUGGCGAUUUCAUAACUUUCGAUCCAUGAUGCCGGCUCGAGGUCCGGGGUAUAAUUAGGCACUUUCCUUGGCCCUUUGAAGUCUUUGGGCAUCCUUUCGUUACGAAGGGCGGGGGAUAAACAUGGUACCCCAACUUGCCCUCCGCCCCCAACGAGGGGGGCCGGGGCAUCUUGGAUGUUCGGGAGGUCCCGGCCCGGCGGGUUCUGUUCAGGCGGGUUGUCCUGUGGGAUGUGUCGCGGCCCGCUGUUUACGGCGGGUUGGUCCUCUGGCCUGCUCCUGGUAUAACUUGCCUGAGGGGUAGAAUGCAACCUCUCGAGGCUAUGUGAGACUGGGCGUUUUGAACCACCGCCGUCUUCAACAUCUCGAUGGCAUUCCUUGCUUCUAUUUCGGUAGGAGUGUUCCCAUGAAUCGGGGGGGACUCCGGAUGGUGGGUUGCGGCAAGCACGUUAUCCACCGAGUUGGAAAAGUGGCCUUGAGGCGUCCGGAACCGGGGAAUGUGAUCCUCAACCGGUUGAGCCGGCGGGUUAGGUGGGCGACCCGGCCCUCCUGCCGGGACGGCUCCCGUCCCAGGGGUUCGUGCAGUAUCGAAGAGGCGAGUCGGAUUGAGGUCAUGGGGCAGGCGACCCUGGUGUCUCCUCUGAUGGACGGCGUCGGACGGGCGCUGCUGUCUCUCGAGCCGCCAGUUGUUAGUGUUUAAACGCAUCCUUUCGGCCGUGAUUUGGGCUUGCCGAGUCUCAAUCCUGGCGGACUCCAUCUCGGCGUCCCGAUGAGCCUUUGCCACCGCCUCUCUGAGUUUUGCCAGCUCCGUGUUUAUCUCUUCUUGGUUCUCUGGUGUGAGGGGAGUCGCCGUUAGCCUUGUGAUCUCCGCCGCAAAAUCCAGUAGGACUGCGGCCGGGCUCCUAGACGUCACGCCGGUUCCAUCGCCCCCAGUAGGGUUUUGUGUGGGCUGAGUCGCCCCAGCCAUGUAGAUGGCGAUCGGGCGGCGAGUUCGGUCCAGGAUUUCCGAGUCCAUGGCCAGCGACAAGCUCCCAAGACAAUCCCCAUGCAAAGAGCGGAUUGAAUCUGAGUCACCCAUGGAUGAUUCGUCGUCAGAGUUGACCGGUGUAGUUUCCUGAAUCGCCGAGCGUUCUGGCUCUNNNNNNNNNNNNNNNNNNNNNNNNNNNNNNNNNNNNNNNNNNCUUCCGAUCCCUGCGUGAACCCCACAAAGACCGGGCGAGUCAGAUUUGGCGUUAUGAUUUGGCGGACGUACCUGGCCGGCUCGAUGAUGUCGGUGGAGACGUCCGGCUCAGGCGCGGAUGAUCCGAUCAUGCCGAUGAAGAUGUUGAUCUUGCCGAAGGGGACCAUGUAACCAGAUUCAAUCGAAUCCGCUUCAGUCCCCAUUGCUGGUUGUCGAUGUAGGUUACCCGCGGCGGCUCCGAGUCAUGAGCCCUGUCGCGUAACUCCCAAACCCGGGUAGGGCUCCCUUUGAGAACUCAACUCCACCGUGCGUAGGCCCCACGGUGGGCGCCCACUGUCGUGGUUUUGUCACGGCAGAUGUCCUCGUGUAAGGACUUAAGACUGGAGCCAUCACACCCUGGUGGCGACUCAAAGGGGUUAAGCGGGAGAGACACGGCGAUUUACCCAGGUUCGGCCCCUCGAGAGGAGGUAAUAGCCUACGUCCUGCCUUUGUGUGUAUUGAUGUGGAUUCGAUUACAAGGGGGGCGUAAUUCGCCAAACCUAGCACUCGAUGAUUUCUAACCCGCCCUCUGUUCCCAGGACUCGCCUUUAUAUACAGGUCGAUCCCCUAGGGUUUACAAGGAUUCUUUCCUUCCUACAACUCGUGACCCCCGUGGUCUCUAAGUCGCCAUCUUCCGAUGCUUGGAGACUUUCCAAGAGCCAUAACCGUCAUACGACCUUGAUUCGGCCAAAACGAGGCCCAACUAAAUGUUUGGGUGAAUCGCCCAAAGGAUAACCCGACCCAACUAGGGCGGGUCAUCUACAGGUAAUAUCCCCAACACAAUCCGACUAGAGUAGGAGAGACAGUCACCCGCUAGCCACCUUUAUGCACGAUGUGCCUGUCUGUCGGUGGAACCAGUCUCACGUAAGCGUACGUGUAAAGUCGGUCCGGGCCGCUUCAUCCCACAAUACCGCUGGAAAAGAAUAAGACUAAUAGCGGCAAGCAAAUUGACAAAUCAUCGCCCACAACUUUUGUGUUCUACUCGUGCAUAGAAUCUACGCAUAGAAAACCUGGCUCGGAUGCCACUGUUGGCUAACGUAGCAUAAAUUCAAAAUUUUCCUACGCAUAUUCAGAUCUUCCUAUGGAGAGACCAGCAACGAGAGAGGGGUAAGAGCAUGUUCAUACCUUUGAAGAUCGCUAAGCGGAAGCGUUGCUAGAACACGGUUGAUGGAGUCGUACUCGCAGCGAUUCCGAUCUAGUGCCGAACUACGACACCUCCGCGUUCAACAAACGUGCAGCCCGGUGACGUCUCCCGCACCUUGAUCCAGCAAGGAGGAGGGAGAGGUUGGGGAAGAACUCCAGCAGCACGACAGCAUGGUGUCGAUGGAGAGACGAGGUCUCCCGGCAGGGCUUCGCCAAGCACCGGCAGAGAGGAGGAGGAAGAAGGGCAGGGCUGCGCCGAGAGAGAGGGAAAACCGUGUCUUUCAAUGGCCAAAACCCCUCUCUAUUUAUAGGAGGAGGGGGGAGGGCUGCGCCACCCCUAGGGUUCCCUCCCUAGGGGCCGGCGGCCACCAGAUGGGAGAGGGGGCGGCGGCUAGGGUGGGAGGGGGUGUGGCGCACCACCUGGUGGGCCUAAGGCCCACCUGCGCCUAAGGUUACCCCCUCUCGCCACCACUUGCGCAUUGGGCUGGGUGUGGGAGGUGCACCAGCCCACCUAGGGGCUGGAUCCCUCCCGCACUUAGCCCAUCUAGCCUUUCGGGGUCGUUUCCCCCCUUCGGUGGACCCCCGGGGCCACCUCCGGUGGUCCCGGUACGUUACCGGUGACGCCCGAAACACUUCCGGUGUCCGAAACCAUCCGUCCUAUAUAUCAAUCUUUACCUCCGGACCAUUCCGGAGCUCCUCCUGACGUCCGGGAUCUCAUCCGGGACUUCGAACAACUUUCGGUAACCUCGUAUAUCAAUUCCCUAUAACCCUAGCGUCAUCGAACCUUAAGUGUGUAGACCCUACGGGUUCGGGAGACAGGCAGACAUGACUGAGACACCUCUCUGGACAAUAACUAUCAGCGGGGUCUGGAUACCCAUGGUGGCUCCCACUUGCUCCACGAUGAUCUCAUUGGAUGAACCACGAUGUCAAGGAUUCAAUCAAUCCCGUAUACGAUUCCCUUUGUCUGUCGGUAUAUAACUUGCCCGAGAUUCGAUCGUUGGUAUACCUAUACCUUGUUCAAUCUCGUUACCGGUAAGUCUCUUUACUCGUUCCGUAGCACAUCAUCGUGUGACUAACUCCUUAGUCACAUUGAGCUCAUGAUGAUGUUCUACCGAGUGGGCCCAGAGAUACCUCUCCGUCACACGGAGUGACAAAUCCCGAUCUCGAUUCGUACCAACCCAACAGACACUUUCGGAGGUACCCGUAGUGCACCUUUAUAGUCACCCAGUUACAUUGUGACGUUUGAUACACCCAAAGAACUCCUACGGUAUCUAGGAGUUGCACAAUCUCACGGUCGAAGGAAAAGAUACUUGACAUUAGAAAAGCUUUAGCAUACGAACAAUACGAUCUAGUGCUAUGCUUAGGAUUGGGUCUUGUCCAUCACAUCAUUCUCCUAAUGAUGUGAUCCCGUUAUCAAUGACAUCUAAUGCCCAUGAUCAUGAAACCAUGAUCAUCUAUUGACUAACGAGCUAGCCAACUAGAGGCUUGCUAGGGACACAUUGUGAUCUAUUUAUUCACACAUGUAUUACUGUUUCCUGUUAAUACAAUUAUAACAUGAACAAUAGACGAUUAUCAUGAACAAGGAAAUAUGAUAAUAACCAUUUUAUUAUUGCCUCUAGGGCAUAUUUCCAACAGUCUCCCACUUGCACUAGAGUCAAUAAUCUAGUUACAUUGUGAUGUAUCGAACACCCAUAGCAUUAUGGUGUUGAUCAUGUUUUGCUCGUGGAAGAGGUUUAGUCAACGGGUCUGCAAUAUUCAGAUCCGUGUGUACUUUACAAAUAUCUAUUACUCCACUCUGGACAUGGUCCUGGAUGGAGUUGUAGCGGCGUUUGAUGUGCUUCGUCCUCCGGUGAAACCUGGGCUCCUUGGCUAUGACAAUGGCUCCAGUGUUAUCACAGAAGAGUGUCAUUGGACCCGACGCGCUUGGAACCACUCCAAGGUCGGUGAUGAGCUCCUUCAUCCAAAUUCCUUCAUGAGCUGCUUCUGAAGGAGCUAUGUACUCCGCUUCACAUGUAGAUGCUGCCACGACUUCUUGCUUGCUGCUGCACCAGCUCACUGCCCCACCAUUCAACACAUAUACGUAUCCGGUCUAUGACUUAGAGUCAUCCGGAUCUGUGUCGAAGCUAGCGUCGACGUAACCCUUUACGACGAGCUCUUCGUCACCUCCAUAAACGAGAAACAUUUUCUUAGUCCUUUUUAGGUACUUAAGGAUAUUCUUGACCGUUGUCCAGUGUUCCAUACCUGGAUCACUUUGGUACCUCCCUACCAAACUUAUGGCAAGGUUUAUAUCAGGUCUGGUACACAGCAUGGCAUACAUUAGAGAGCCCACGACUGAAGCGUAGGGGACAGAACUCAUCUUCUCUCUAACUUCUGCCGUGGUCGGCGACUGAGUCUUACUCAAUCUCAUACCUUGCAAAACAAGCAAGAACCCUUUCUUUGAGUUUUCCAUAUUGAACUUCUUCAAUAUCUUUUCAAGGUACGUACUUUGCGAAAGACCUAUGAGGCGUCUUGAUCUAUCUCUAUAGAUCUUGAUGCCUAAUAUGUAUUGAGCUUCUCCAAGGUCCUUCAUUGAAAAACUCUUGUUCAAAUAGGCCUUUAUUCUCUCCAACAUCUCUAUAUUAUUCCCCAUCAAUAAUAUGUCAUCCACAUACAGUAUGAGGAAAGCUACAGAGCUCCCACUCACUUUCUUGUAUAGAUAGGCUUCUCCGUAAGCCUGUAUGAACCCAAACGCUUUAAUCACCUCAUUAAAGCGAAUGUUCCAACUCCGAGAUGCUUGCACCAGCCCAUAGAUGGAGCGCUGGAGCUUCCACACUUUGUUAGCACCCUUAGGGUCGACAAAACCUUCUGGUUGCAUCAUAUACAACUCUUCCUUAAGGUUCCUGUUAAGGAACGCUGUUUUGACGCCCAUUUGCCAAAUUUCAUAAUCAUAAAAGGCGGCAAUUGCUAAAAUGAUUCGGACUGAUUGCAGCUUCGCUACGGGAGAGAAAGGCUCUUCAUAGUCAACUCCUUGAAUUUGUCGAAAACCCUUUGCGACAAGUCGAGCUUUGUAAAUGGUUACAUUACCGUUUGCAUCAGUCUUCUUCUUGAAGAUCCAUUUAUUUUCUAUGGCUCGCCGGUCAUCGGGCAAGUCCACCAAAGUCCAUACUUUGUUCUCAUAUUUCUAUGGUUCGCCGGUCAUCGGGCAAGUCCACCAAAGUCCAUACUUUGUUCUCAUACAUGGAUCCUAUCUCGGAUUUCAUAGCCUCAAGCCAUUUGUUGGAAUCCGGGCCCGCCAUCGCUUCUUCAUAGUUCGAACGUUCACCGUUGUCUAACAACAUGAUUUCCAUCACAGGGUUGUCGUACCACUCUGGUGAGGAGCGUGCCCUUGUGGACCUUCACGGUUCAGUAGUAACUUGACCCGAAGCUUCAUGAUCAUCAUCAUUAACUUCCUCUUCAGUCGGUGCAGGCGCCACAGGAACAACUUCCCGCGCUGCGCUACUAUCCUGUUCGAGAGGGGGUGUAAUUACCUCAUCAAGUUCUACCUUCCUCCCACUUACUUAUUUCGAGAGAAACUCUUUCUCUAGAAAGGAUCCGUUCUUGGCAAUCCUUGCAACCAUGGUCACAAGCACCGUUGUUUUAUCCCUGGUGGCAACAGCACAUCCCCUAGUCUAACAUUUCUGUCACUCAAGCUAGACAUCAGGGGGCAUGAACCCGCAAUCAUGCAUAGCGCUCCCUCUUGGAGUUGUAAUUUACUACUCGGCCAAAGCAAUAGAAAGCAACGGAGAACAUGCAUGAAUCAAAUAUAUAACUCAUAACAAUCUGAACAUAAUCUCAUAAUCCAUCGGAUCCAAUCAAACCGAGCAUAGCAAUAGCAUGAAAAUUACAUAGGUGCCAUGAUCAUGUAGGGAAGCUCACAAGGACUAAUCAUGGAAGCACAAGAUUGGAGAGAUGACAUUACAUAGCUACUGGUCAUGGACUCAUGGUCCAAGGAGGACUACUCACGACACGUCCAAGAAGCGUCCAUGGGGGUGGAGAAUCUCCCGGAGGUCAAUCCUUCCUCCGGUAGGGUGUCGGGAAGAGGUCUCCUGACGCUCCCGAUCUCGGAAGUGCUGCAGCGGCGGAACGAUGGGGAAAUUUGCGAUUCUGGAUCCCGUACAGGGUUUUCCUGGACGAGGGGUAAAUAUAGGCGAAAGGAGGGCACCAGAGGGCGUGGGCCCCACCCAGGCGGCCUCUUGGCGCGAUCUAGGGGUGGGUUGCGCCCACAGGUCGCCCGGGCGGCCCCUGCCCCCUCUGACCCCCUUUCGUGCUUCGUGAAGCCUCUCGCGCGCUGAUUUUUAUAUAUUUUUCUCGGGAUUUUUGGGGCUCUGGAAAAUUGGGUAAAAGCCCGUGCAAAAAAGACAUCAGUAGACAAAAACUGGCACUGGGUGCACUGAGUUAGUAGGUUAGUCCAAAUAUGUGUAAAAAGAUAUAAAAGAGUAGCAAAACAUAUAACAAUGUCACCCAAAAGAUCAUGGAACAAGUAGAAAUUAUAGAUACAUUUGGGACGUAUCAACAUCCCCAAGCUUAAUUCGUGCUCUUCCUUGAGUAGGUAAAUGAUAACACAAUAAUUUCUGUGGUGACAUGCUGACACACAUAUAAGAACUUCAAAGUAAAGCAAGUGAGAUAUGCAAUUCAAGUCAAGACAAUAACAAGCAAGAGUCUAUACCUAGUAUUGAAAUUAGCAAAGUAAGAACAUAAAGGUGCAAGAGCUCUCGCUGCCGUGUCUCGAAUGUCUUCAAAUGGUGUUUGCGUGCAAGAAGUGGGAGAUGGGUUUAGAGAUAAUAUAUUUUUUAAUUGAGAACUCAAUCUACUAAACCUCACACUUGGUCUCCUUCGGAAUCUUAUUUUGACUCAUCACGAGCCCACUAGUCAGGCACAAGUCAAAAUGAUCCUCUCCCUUUCGACUUUGAGCACUCAUGCAAUGGAUGAGCGUAAGCAAGAUAUGUUGGCACUUAGGAUGGCAAAUAGAAUAAUGGUGGGGAAGGAAGACAAAAAGGGUGUGAAAGGCUCACAUCAAUGAGGACAACCAUAGGCGAGAGAAAGCCAAAUGAUAGAUAUGAUGUGAGGAGUAGGGAUUGCCAUGCAACGAUGCACAUAUGAGCUAAGGUAAGCUCUCUAAUGGAACUAGUGGGAUGCAUCCAACUUGCUUUCUCACGAAGACGUAGAGCUCAUUUGAGGAGGCUCAUCAUUGGAAUAUACAAGUCAAGUUCUAUAGUGUAAGGGCCCCCACAUAGUUAUGCAUGAAUGAUAAUCUCUAUGUAGUACAAAUAUAGCAAUGGAGUACGAGUGUGUAUCCUUCAAAAGGAAUAGUAGUGUUGCCCCCUUCUCUCUUUUUUUGUGGCCUCUUUGGCUCUUUCUUUUUAUCUCUCAUUUGUCCUCUUUGGGAUCUUUUCCUCACUUUAGGGCAACACUCUAUGUUUUACAAGAAUAAAAAGAAAAUCAUCACACUUUGUAAUAAGUACUCAACAUAAAGACAAGUGAAAACUAUCAUGAUGUAUGCAAAUGUAUGCCUCUGCGAGUGUAGGAGGAUAUGCAAUGAAACUAGUGCGUCAUGUAGCAGUAAUAAGGGCAAGGCCCAACUAUCAUGCGUGUGCUCGAUCAAGCAAAAGCAUGUAUGACAUGAAGAUCAAGUCAUGAGAUGGUGGAUGUUCCAUGACAAUGUAUCUCGGAAAGGCUAUGGAAAUGCCUUAAUAGGUAGGUAUGGUGGCUGUUUUGAGGAAAGAUAUAAUGAGGCUUAUGAUGACGGAGCGUAUCAUGCCAAGGGUUUGGAUGCACCCACGAAGUUUGCACCAACUCUCAAGGUGAUAAAGCGCAAUGCACGGUACCGAAGAGGCUAGCAAAAUAUGAAUGGUGGAAGUGCCAACAAUCGAAUACUCACAUUAGUCUGAAGAACACGUACACUUAUUAUCGGUAAAUCUCUAUCUAGUUAGGAAAUUCACAAAGAGACAAGUACCCCUAGGAGGAGUGUUUUGGGGGUUUGGUUAUCCUUGCACAUCCUCGACCCAUGGUAACGUGAGGGUACUCUAUAUAUUCUUGCGCAUCCUCGACCCAUGGUAACAUCUCAGCAAUAAGCAGAGAGGAUGUGUACCCGGAGAACAACAGGGGAGGCACUGACAAAAUUCCCCAUCGGAUCCGGAGCACAGCAUACGGGAAAACAAACCCAAUCUACACAUACUCGGGCUGUCCAUGGAUAAUGUUGGACAAUUCGAAAGGAUGGCGGUUAUAAAUAUGCAAAGAAAUGCAUAUUGAUAGAUGUCGCCCUUUUGAACAGCAGACGCAUACUGGUCACGCAUACUCAUGAUUGAAGAAACCUAUAGCUAGCAAGUUUCAUCGGCACGAAGACCGGGACAGAGCAAAUUAAGGGGGUAGGAGGAGAAGUCAUUUGUGCUCACCAACAAACGCAAGGGCGGACCUCGUCCAACGCACGUGGAGGUCGUCGAACAACUGCACAUUGAAAUUCACCCGAUCAACACAAAUAUGAUGUUUUUAUAAUUAACAUAAUCGGAAAAUAUGUGACCUAACUCAUAAUUUACAAAAUUAUGAACCCGUCGGCUUAGUGGCGUCGAUGGUCGGUGGUGUCGGGUGUCGGUGGCGUCGGCGGUUGGGGGUUAGUUGUGUCGGUGGUCGGGGGUUAGUGUUGUCGGGGGUCGAGGAUCGCUGGCAUCGGGGGUUGGGGUCUCUUUGGUCAACAAGAGGCCGAAGAGGUGUCGGGGUCGGGGGUGGGGGUCAAUGGUGUCGGGGGGCGGGGGGAGGGGGCCGGGGNNNNNNNNNNNNNNNNNNNNNNNNNNNNNNNNNNNNNNNNNNNNNNNNNNNNNNNNNNNNNNNNNNNNNNNNNNNNNNNNNNNNNNNNNNNNNNNNNNNNNNNNNNNNNNNNNNNNNNNNNNNNNNNNNNNNNNNNNNNNNNNNNNNNNNNNNNNNNNNNNNNNNNNNNNNNNNNNNNNNNNNNNNNNNNNNNNNNNNNNNNNNNNNNNNNNNNNNNNNNNNNNNNNNNNNNNNNNNNNNNNNNNNNNNNNNNNNNNNNNNNNNNNNNNNNNNNNNNNNNNNNNNNNNNNNNNNNNNNNNNNNNNNNNNNNNNNNNNNNNNNNNNNNNNNNNNNNNNNNNNNNNNNNNNNNNNNNNNNNNNNNNNNNNNNNNNNNNNNNNNNNNNNNNNNNNNNNNNNNNNNNNNNNNNNNNNNNNNNNNNNNNNNNNNNNNNNNNNNNNNNNNNNNNNNNNNNNNNNNNNNNNNNNNNNNNNNNNNNNNNNNNNNNNNNNNNNNNNNNNNNNNNNNNNNNNNNNNNNNNNNNNNNNNNNNNNNNNNNNNNNNNNNNNNNNNNNNNNNNNNNNNNNNNNNNNNNNNNNNNNNNNNNNNNNNNNNNNNNNNNNNNNNNNNNNNNNNNNNNNNNNNNNNNNNNNNNNNNNNNNNNNNNNNNNNNNNNNNNNNNNNNNNNNNNNNNNNNNNNNNNNNNNNNNNNNNNNNNNNNNNNNNNNNNNNNNNNNNNNNNNNNNNNNNNNNNNNNNNNNNNNNNNNNNNNNNNNNNNNNNNNNNNNNNNNNNNNNNNNNNNNNNNNNNNNNNNNNNNNNNNNNNNNNNNNNNNNNNNNNNNNNNNNNNNNNNNNNNNNNNNNNNNNNNNNNNNNNNNNNNNNNNNNNNNNNNNNNNNNNNNNNNNNNNNNNNNNNNNNNNNNNNNNNNNNNNNNNNNNNNNNNNNNNNNNNNNNNNNNNNNNNNNNNNNNNNNNNNNNNNNNNNNNNNNNNNNNNNNNNNNNNNNNNNNNNNNNNNNNNNNNNNNNNNNNNNNNNNNNNNNNNNNNNNNNNNNNNNNNNNNNNNNNNNNNNNNNNNNNNNNNNNNNNNNNNNNNNNNNNNNNNNNNNNNNNNNNNNNNNNNNNNNNNNNNNNNNNNNNNNNNNNNNNNNNNNNNNNNNNNNNNNNNNNNNNNNNNNNNNNNNNNNNNNNNNNNNNNUCGAGGGGAGCGGGGGUGGAGCGUGCCGUUAGGGGAGCGGGGGUGGGGGAUGGGUGCCGUUAGGGGGAGCCCCUCUUUGCCGUCUGCAGAAGCUGGGAGGCGGACGGCAAAGGGGUGGGUGGGGUGGGGCGGGCUUCGGCCGUUAGGGUGGCGCCCCUUUGCCGUCCGGGUUCUCUUUGCCGUCCGCCUCUGGGGCCUUUGCCAUGUGUUAGCAGACGGCAAAGAGGUGGCCGACGGCAAAUAAAAACUUUGCCAUCAGCAACCUCUUUGCCGUGUGCUUUGUGCCAGCUGACGGCAAAGAGGAUCUUUGCCAUGCGUCAGCAGACGGCAAAGGCAUGGCAGAUGGCAAAUUUCUCAAUUCCAGUAGUGCCUCCAGAGGUUAGCGAUCAAUUUAGUAGCUAGAGUUCUCAACUAAUUUUUAAUUUUUGAAAAACACACGGAUUUCCCAAAAUACGACACCUAUCACUAAUAGGCUCAAGCUCUUGGCACCAAUAGUACAAACAUUACUCAAAUCAAUACCUCAAAAUUAUUGCAAGUUACUACUAUACUUAAAUAGCAACCUCAAUUACCUACUCAUGCAAGACACACAACUCAGUGCAACAAGCCAACUCUCUAAACAAGAUAAGCAUGAUAAUUCAAGAGAGUUCCAAAAGCAACCUAAAUAAUAGCCCUUAAAAAGAUAUAGCAUGAAAACUAAGAGCUAGGCUUGAUAGUAGCUACGAAAAGUUAAAGAACACACAAAAAAGAUAAUCAUGAAAACCUAUGUUGUGUUCUAGAGUGGAAUGGAGCGUGUUUCUCUCCCAAACAAGGUAUAAUAGGUUCCGGCUUCUUAUGAACAGCAAGCAAAACUAAAUAAACUAAAAACUAAAGAGCGGGACGCUCCAAGCAUAGCACAUAACAUAUGAAGUGAUAGAAAUAUAGCAUGGAGAUGGACGAACUGAUGAUUGUUGAUAGAGAAGGGGAUGCACGGGAGCGUCCCCAAGCUUAGAUGCUUGCAUCUCCUUGAAUAUUUCUUGGGGGUGCAUGGGGGCAUCCCCAAGCUUGAGCUCUUGACACUCUUGGAUCUUCUUUCAUCAUCUUUUAUCGCAUACUUGAAAACUCCCUUCAUACGAAACUCAUCAUAAAAUGAUUAGAGUGGUUAGUACCCAUGAUAAAAUAGUUCAUUACCUACUGGAAAUAAUAAUUUUCAUGAAAAUAUAUUGUUUCUCAUUAUUGCCAAAAGGUUUUUGCGAAGGAAAAGAAAUCUUAAGAUUUGGAAAAUGAUGAAAACGCAAAAUGUGGCAGAAUCUGUGUAAAACAGAACAGCAGGUAGUAAAUUAUUUUUCUGGGUACUUAUGCAACUCAAAUCAAACAACUCAUAACAGAUGCCAGAAAGACAAUUAUAUAUAGCAUGCUGUCAAAAAGAUUCAGAUCAAAAAGAUGAUCUGGUGAUUUUUGGCGAAUUGUUCCGUCAAACAGACAUAAUCUGUUUCUGGACAGCAUGUCACAACUUUUGAACUUUAUUGCAAUCGGAGGCUAAAACUUGGCACAAAGCUUGAAAAUAAAGAUACAAUGAUGUUGCUAAAGUAGUAACACACAUCAAGACCACUAAAAACUGAAAGUAAAAAACUCAAAGUAAAGAUAACAAGGGUUGUCUCCCUAGAGCUCUUUCUUUAUAGCCAUAAAGAUAGGCUUAAGAUUUUAAUGAUGCUCUUGUAGGAAUAAGAGUUGUAGAACAAAAGAGAGCAUCAAGAAGCAAAUACCAAACACAUUUAAGUCUAACAUGCUUCCUAUGCAUAGGAAUAUUGCAAGAGAAUAAUUCAUUGAAGCACAAGGCAAUAAGCAUAGGAAGGCAAAACAAGUGCAUCUCCAAAACCUUCAACAUAAAGAGAGGGAACUUGAUAUUAUUGAAAUAUCUAUAAGCAUAUGUUCCCUUCUCAUAAUAACUUUCAGUGGGAUCAUGAAUAAACUCAACAAUAUAACUAUCAUAUAAGGUAUUACUUCCAUGAUCCACAUGCAAAGGUACUCUUACUCUCCACAUAAGCAUAAUCUUUGGGGAGCCCAUGGUUAGGACAUUUUAGCACUAAAGUUUUCAGUCUCCCCCAAUCUUGAGCUAUGCUUUCUCCGUCACGAGACAAAAAGUUAUAAAUAUAGUUCAUGUCUCGAUGUAUUUCAUGAAGAGGAUAAAACUUUGCAUAAAAAAGAGGCAUAAGAUCUUGCCAAUUCAGCAAAUGAGAGUUAUCAAGAAGCCAAUACCAAUCCAAAGCCUUAUAUUUUAAUGAUAGAUAGAAUAGCUUUCUCAUAACAAAAUCCAUCAAUAUACCUGCAAGGUUAAAUAAGGAGCAUAGUUGUGAAAGAAAUAACAAGUGUUCGCCUGGAUGUCUAUCUCCUGCAUAUCGAUUAGCCAAGACACAAUCAAUAAUACCAGUUGGUAUUUUAAAGGGCACAAUUUCCGUAGGUGGGGGAGGCUUCUCCACCACAAUAGCGGUGGGGCGGUUCCCCACAAGCAGCGAACUAAGACUGCAGUUUUCCAUAAGCCUAACUAGCCAUGCCAAUCAUGAAAAGCAAACUAAUAAGAGAAAACAGCCAAGGUAAAAGAUAGCGUGCAACUCCCCUAUCUUGAAGACUGGAGUCCCCGGCAACGGCGCCAGAAAACUUGCUUGAUGACAAGAUGAUGUAUAUACUUCUCGCUCCUCGUUGGUUACCCCAAGGGGAAGGUUGAGAUGUAGUCAGCAAGAAGUUUUCCCUUACACGAAGACUGUAAGGUUUAUCGAACCAAGAGGACUCCUAGGAUCAACAAGUAGGUGUCUCCCACCCUGGCACUAUUAGAAGACGUGGACUUGCACACACACAAAUAACUUUUCUCCCAAUGAGUACAGAGAGGUUGUCAAUCUCUUCGGCCUUGUAGUCUGCAAAGGAUCAAAACACAAGCGGGAAUAGUAAUAGUGAUUGCAAUGGAAAAGUAAAUGAAAGCAAUAAAUGAUGGAGGUGUAAGCAAUGGUGGUGAUAUGGACCGGAGUCACAUGAUGUUCACUAGUGAUGUCUCUCUCCCAAAAGAUGAUAAACAACUAUGCUUGGGUGAACAAAUUACAGCUGGGCAAUUGACAGAAUGAUGAACGCAGCACAAUGCUAAUUAUGCUACUUGAAAGUUAGAGGCUUAAUAGUAAUGGGCAGUACACCAAGACAAGUAGACUGUUUAUUCAUUAACAUCUACUUACUAACCAUCCACCUUGAGAUAUCUAUCCAGAACAUCUCACUGGUAUUAAGUUGUGAGCCCCACCCAAAGUGUAAACUCAAAGCAACGGACAACUGCAUUAACGAACUAUGUGUAAGGUAAACAAUCCUUGCAACCGUGGUCACAAGCACCAUUGUUUUACCCCUGGUGGCAACAACACAUCCCCUAGUCUCAUGUAUCUGUCAAUCAAGCUAGACAUCAGGGGGCAUGAACCCACAAUCAUGCAUAAGGAUCCCUCUUGGAGUUGCAAUCUACUACUCGGCCAAAGAAAUACAAAGCAAUAGAGAACAUGCAUGAACCACUAAAGAACAUAAUAUAAAAGGAUAAUAAAAUAUAUAACUCAUAAUAAUCUGAACAUAAUCUUAUAAUCCAGCGGAUCCCAUCAAACCGAGCAUAGCAAUAGCAUGAAAAUUACAUAGGUGCCUUGAUGAUGUAGGGAAGCUCACAAGGACUAAUCAUCGAAGCACAAGAUUGGAGAGAAGACAUCACAUAGCUACUGGUCAUGGACUCAUGGUCCAAUGAGGAUUACUCAUGACACGUCCGGGAAGCGUCCAUGGCGGUGGAGAAGCUCCCGGAGGUCAAUCCUCCCUCCGGUAGGGUGUCGGGAAGAGGUCUCCUGACGCUCCCGAUCUCGGAAGCGCUGCAGCGGCGGAACGAUGGAGAAAUUUGCGAUUCUGGAUCACGUACAGGGUUUUCCUGGACGAGGGGUAAAUAUAGGCGAAAGGAGGGCACCAGAGGGCGUGGGCCCCACCCAGGCGGCCUCUUGGCACGACCUAGGGGUGGGCUGUGCCCUCAGGUCGCCUGGGCAGCCCCUGCCCCACUCUGUCCCCCUUUUGUGCUUCGUGAAGCUUCUGAUGCGCUGAUUUUUAUAUAUUUUUCUCGGGAUUUUUGGGGCUCCGGAAAAUUGGGUAAAAGCCCAUGCAAAAAAGACAUCAAUAGACAGAAACUGGCACUGGGUGCACCGAGUUAGUAGGUUAGUCCAAAUAUGUGUAAAAAGAUAUAAAAGUGUAUUAAAACAUAUAACAAUGUCACCCAAAAGAUCAUGGAACAAGCAGAAAUUAUAGAUACGUUUGGGACGUCUCAACCACCUUCUUUAAAUUAGAUUUGGCAGAUGCGGGAUGAAGUCCUACCACAUGAUCGCAUACGAGAAAUUCAAGAGGAAUUGGCGGGAUUCUUUCCUGACCACGUCAUAUCUAAAUACGGAGAAUACUAUGUGGGUUAUUUGUGAUUGGAUCUUAAGUAGAUGAUGUUAGGGAUUGUAAAAGGUGUUAUAUUGUAAAAGAUAUUAGGGAUUGUUAAUGGUUUCCUUAAUUUUCAUAUUAGCUAGCGUCAAGUUAUUUCUAUAUGUAUAGUAUCUAGCGUCCACCAAGAACGGAGAAAGAGAGGACACUUCUCUCUAUUAGCUAGCUAACACAAUAUGAAACCACUAAAUUAACCCUCCAAAACCCCCAAACCCCCCAUUAAAAAAAACCCCAACUCCGACCAGAUGCUGACGCGUGGAUGCCAUUUGGUCCCGGUUAGUGUGAAAAACCAGGACUAAAGUUCCUCGUGCCUGGGCUCCCCGCAGCGGCCAUGUGGAGACACUUCUGUCCCGGUUCGUAAGCAAACCAGGACUAAAGGUUUUGGGCUUUAGUCCCGACCCUUUAGUCCCGGUUCCAGAACCGGGGCUAAUGGCCCCUCUGGAACCGGGACAAAUGGGCCUUUUUCUACUAGUGUGUAAAGCUCAACAUGCCCCCACACAGCUCAACAUGUGUGCUCUAAAUAUAGAACAUGAACAUGAAUUCAUUCAUGGAGUUGGAUAGUCAAACAUACAUAAUGAACAAAAAGAAUCAGUAUGAGAUCAUGACUAAUGCAGAUCACCAAGAUAUUUGUGAAUGGUUCAUCACAUAGAUGAACAUUAAUACAAACAUAAAGAGAGAUAACUUUUCAGAAUGAGUCUUUGAGUGCUCAGAUGGCAAACCUUAUCCUUGUACCUCUCAUGUGAGACGGGGACACCCAUUUCACAUCCAUUAUAAAGUAAGACUUUGAUAUAAUAAAGUAAGACUUCAACUCUUCUUUCAACCAAGCAUAUGUGGUGGAGCGUCGCGCGUUUUGGCUCCAUGAUCAAGUUGUUGAGGCCUCAUCAAUGUACUUCUCCAGUUUCUCCUUUAUCAAACAAAGUUCCAAGAACAAGUGAUCCAUGUCAUGGGACAACUGACAUGUUGAAAUUAAUCAAUGAUCAAAGUGUACUUGGUAAAAGGGUCAUCUAUUAUUCCUCGCAAAUUUUCAACAUGAUACAUUACAAAGUUCGUAGGUUUUUUGCUAAAAAAUAUGUUUAGCUAAAUUGACAAUGGAUAUAAUGAUGCUAUCUUAUUGAAACUUUAUUAUACCAAUUCUUACACAUUCAAUACUCAAAAAAUACACCAAUACAAACUUUAACAAAUGCAAAUUUGAAAUUUCCAUGUGUCCUCUGAUCAUCUUGUCAUCACGCGACUUAGGCAUCAAGGUGUAUAUCGUAAUGGUAUUGGUAGUGGGUAUUCCUGCUUGCAAGAAAUAGACAGAGCCAAGCUUGUGUGUUGUAACAAACUAGUUAGGAAUUGGCUUGUACAUAUUAGUCAUGGAGCUGUGGGGCACCAAUGAUAGUGGCCCUCUCAUCAAUUGUGGCUUCAUACUUGUGACCAUCAAUCAUCCACAAUUGAGCCAUCACCAUAGAAAUGAACAGUCGAAUAGAAUUCCAUGAUUAGUUUAUCAUUCCAUGGAGUCAUCUCUCUUCCAACAAAUUCUUCAAUAUCCACAUAAUUGAAUUUUUCUUGCACAUGGGGAAAGAAAUCUUCAUUGGCUUUGAUAUAAGCCCAGUCAACAUAUCUCAUGUCACUAACAUCUAGACUCUUGUCAUAUAGAACAAUCUCAUAAAAGUCUUGUUGUUCCUUCGUAUGGAAUCUAGGAUCAAUAGGAGUCCUUCUCCUGAUAGCAUAUGGAUCAAUAGCUCUCCAAUUCCUCAGCCCUGCAUCUCUCCUCUUCUUCAUGUCCUCAACUACUGGGUGAGUAGCAUUAUGUAGUGGCAAAUGAUGUUUGAGCUUCAUGAGAAUGGGUGCACCCUCCUCUUCCUCUACAACAAAGGCACUAGAAGCAGGGCCUUUCUCCUUGGUAGUUUCAUGUAUAUCCUUUGUUGUCCUCUUGGGAGCUACAACCUUCUUAGCCUUAGUGGGAGGCUUUGGAGCAGAUGUCCUCGGCAUGGCAUCAACUAUGAGGUUCUUCUUCUUUAGGGGAGGGGCUUCAGUUGGGAUCUCUUCCUCUUCAGCAACUUCUGGGUCCUCAUACAUAGAGGUUUGUCUCCCAACGACAUGAAUCACCCUCUUCUUGGCUCUCUUCAGAGAUGGCUUCUUAGCAGGGUUUUCAGUGGUGAUUUCCGUACCUUGCUUUGCAAACUUAGGGGCUCUAAGAUCAAUAGACCUUGCAUACUAUUUCCUGAUAGUCUUCUUGGUAAGAGCCUUUUCCUUAUGUUUUUGAUGGACAAAAGUUUCCUCUGGCACAAAGUCUGAAUCUUCUUCAUCAGAAUUAAGUUUCCUUCUUGACCUAGUAGCCGCUGCUACCUCUUGAGCUUGCGUUGGUUUUCCCUCGAAGAGGAAAGGGUGAUGUAGCAUAGUAGCAGUAAGUAUUUCCCUCAGUUUGAGAACCAAGGUAUCAAUCCAGUAGGACUAUCAAGGAAAGUCUCCAAAGUACCUGCGCAAAAACAGCAAACUUGCACCCAACGCUACAAAGGGGUUAUCAAUCCCUUCACGACUGAUUUCAAGGUGAGAUCUGAAGGCGGAAAGUGCAACAAAGUAAAAGUGUAAGGCUGAAAAUAUAAUGUGAAGUAGUGUCGGGACCCCGAUCCUAAGUCAUAGGAAUCCAGCCUGUAACACAUCGCAUCUCUUUGCGGUCUCACGCACGGUUUUCCCCAUGGCUGCAGCCUUACCUUAGCCGGGACCGUUUGCGCCUUUUGACUCGUGUAUGCAAUUGUGUCGCUAGCAAUCCACUGACAGAGAACCCGGAUCGACAUGUCUAGUCAUAAACCAAAGCGGCAGUUCCGCACAGGGACAUGCAUACAUGACCCAACAAAGCAGGUGUCGGUCACCAGCGAAUGUAGACGAGUCGUAGCAAGCUACAUGGACUCCAUUACAUCGCGUGACAUUUCCCCAAAGGGGACAGACACAACAGCUAAGAAAGACACAUGUCGGUCAACCAAUGUGUCCGGAGCAGUAGCGAACUACCAUGGCUCGUUGGAUCACAAAGGGGCAUUUCCUUGUAAGGAAUGCUGUUAAAGCCUACGACUAGGUAAUCGAACCCCAUACAUAUCAAGUACAACAUACGUACGCAUGGCAUACCGAUAUGUAUAGAUACAUCGAUGGCAUCACAACAUAACCAUAAUCAUACAAACUUUAUUUAGAAGGCUCGGAANNNNNNNNNNNNNNNNNNNNNNNNNNNNNNNNNCGGAAGAGCCACACACAUAAUAUUACAAGGUAGGGGUCUCACGACCCAUCAUCAAAAGUCAUACACAUAAUUCUUACAACCCAGCGGAAGAUUUAAAGCUGUCUGAGUACAGACAGAGGAAAAGAUAAAGGCACAUGGCCUGACUAUCUACAGACCCACCCUAGGGCCAGAUCGUAGCUGGGAUACCAGCUACUCGUCGUCGAUGUCUAGGUAGAACCCUCCAUUAGGGUCAUUAACAACCUCUGCAACAAAUUAUUAAGAAAAUGUGAGUACAGAGGUACUCAGCAAGACUUUAGGAUAUCUAUCUACUCAUGCAAUGUAUCAAUAAGGAGUUGUGGGGUUUCAUGCGGAAAGCCAGCAUUUGACCCGUGGCUAGACAACUUGCAUUUUCAAAUGAUUUUGACAACUUGAUUUCUCGCACACGAGUCCACUAACACCACAACAAUACUCCAUCAUGGAAUCAUUCCAUCUCCAUACGGAAAUGCCGUCCAUGACACUCACGCUUAUCUUGACAAUUUUAUGAGUAGCCAUUAAAGUUAUCUAUGAACAACAUAUGUCUCCAAGUAGUCCAUAUCCGCGGACGCGGCUAUUCGAAUAGAUCAUAACCCUGCAGGGGUGUACUUCUUCACACACGCUCUCGCCAUUUAUCGCCAUGUGCAUGUCAUGCACCUCGGCAACCUUCAAGCGGAAGCCCAGCGAGGGAGUCGGCCACGACCGUUAUCCAUGCUAUUACUUAGUCCAGGUCUAUCGCCUAUCUAAGGGUAACCCGCACGGAAGUCCGACCGAGGUUUCCGCCACGGCCCCAAACGAUGUGCGCAGGGUUCCCAAGCCCACCAUCCGGGUUCCACUUGGUACACCGUGCCACUGCCUACCGCAUCAUAGCCCACCUCUAAGGUCAGCGCUACGCACGGCCUCCAGCAUGACUAUAAACACCAGAAACUACUUGCAACUCCUGGACCGAGUACUAGGCGAUUAAUAAGUCGAGCGGGGUCAUAUUUCAGGGCCCAGCAUGUGGUAGUAUCUCGUCUUGGAUUACAUACACAGAACUCAGUUCCUAAGGACGGUUCCAAUGAAACAACCCACCAUGUACUCCUACAUAGCCUUUCAUCGGUACCUUUACCAAAUCAGGUUCAACACACAACCUUUACUCACUGAACACAUUCUCACAACUCUGUUCAUCUCCCAGAUGACAGACCAUACACAACUCUAAGCAUAGCAUGCAUAGCAGGAUAAGGCACAUCAUGGCUCAAGCAUCUACCAGGUAUGCUAGGUUGCAAGGUUGAGCUAUUUACUGUGACAAAGACAGGUCAUGCAAAGGAAGUGGGUUCAACUAAUGUGGCAAAAGCAUUCAAAGCAUUUGAUCCUAAUGCAAUAAGUAAGUGCAGGAGCGAGAACAUGGGAUUUAUCGGGAUGAUCAAAGUGGUUGCUUGCCUUGUUGCUCAGCACAGGGACAAUAUCCGUCAGUCGGAUAUUCGGUGGAAUCCGGAGGAGCGAAGCCUACCGAUAGAAAUGACAUCAAUCAAUAACAAUCAUAUCCAACAAAAUGAUGCAUGAGCAUGGCAUGAAGAUGCAAGGUGGUAUGCUAAUAUAGCUAUCAUUUAUUAAGUUUGAAGUUGAUUUGAAUCAAGAUUCAAUAUCACUUUAAACAAGGUAUUUUUAAAUACCCUUUUACUUGAUUGGACCUAAUGCUCAUAUAAUAUUGUAUUAAUAUGCAUGAUGAUGGUAUUUUGAGGUGCUAAUCGUUAUUGAUCAUUGUUUGGUCAUAGAAUUUGAAAUGGAAUUCAGAUGGAUUUCAAAUUCCAAAUCUAUAUUACUUAUUAUGGUUAUCCUAAUCAUCAGUUAAUCUGUUUGGUGAUGCUAACAUUUUCAAACAUGUUUGAAAAUAUCAAAAUCAGAUUCCUUGGAUUUUUCUGAUACUUUUUCAUAUAUAAUUUAUUUCCAUUGGAGUUACAGAUUAUUUUCUAUGAUUUUUAGAAGUUUUGGGCAUUUUCUGGAAUUCUUUUAAAUCAGAAACUCUUUACUGCAUCAGCAUGACAUCAGCAGGUCCAACUGGCCGCUGAAAGUCAAACCUGACCAGUGGAAUCCAGUGGUCAGUGACUGUGGCCAGUUUUAGAUUAAAUUUAAACUUAAUUAGAUAAUUAACAGAACUGGACCCACAUGUCAGUGACUGAUUAGUUUAAUUAAUUUUAUUUUUAUUAACUCUAAUCAUCCAGAGGCUGGCCCCACGUGUCAGUGGCUCAGGCCAGCUGAGAUCCACCGGCGGCGAGGUGGUUCUCGUCGGCGGUGAGCCUCCGGCGACCACCGAGACGGCGGAGGGACUCGGAAACGGCGCGCAUGCAGCCAAACUCCACGUUGAGUGCACCAGAAGAACGCCACGACUCACGCGGGUCCAUUUUUGCACUCAGGCGAGGAUGAUCUGGCCGGAGAAGGCACCAGCGACGAGCUUGGCGGCGGCCCAAGCUCGGGCACCGUCGGGCUAUUCGAAUCCGAAGGAGAAAAGCACGGGACUGAGCACCUACGGCCUGAAGCUACUCGUGGCCUCAAAAGGACGAGCCGUUCACUGGAGAGCUACUGGCGAUGAGCUCCCGCAGCGGAUCUCGUCGGGCUCCGGUGAAAACAGAGCUAGAGGAAGGGAUCGAUGGGGGAAAAGUGAGGGAAAGCUACGCAAGCUCACGAGGAGUGCAGGGGUAGCGCUAGUUUGCUCGGGGGUGGCCUGUAGAGAGAGAACGCCGGCGACGAGCGUCGGUGGCUCCUGGUCGACUCACAGCUUCCUGGUGUCGGGCUCAUAGCUGGAGAGCUCCAGGAGGAUGUGGCGGAGCUAUUGCGUGACUCAAGAGGGAAGGGGGUAGGCUAGAACGACGGCGAGCUCGAGCUCUGCUCGGGCUCCAUGGCGGCAGUGGGGAAACGAAGUAGAGGGGGAGAAUGAGGAGGGAUUGGGCUCGGGCACGUCUGCGAGGAGGUUAUCCUCGCCUUGCCAGCGCACCGAGGCGUCCAGGUAGGCAGGGAGCUGCGUGGAGGCGCCAGACGUCGCGGCGGCCACCUCCUGCUGCCCACUGGCGAGGAGGAAGACGACACACGGGGGAGCUGGGCCUGGGCUAGGUGAGCGACACGUAAGCUUUUCUUCAUUUUUUUCCAUUUCAUUUUCUGGUUUGCUAACUAAUUUGAUUUUCUAUUUAUUUUAGCUCCAAAAUAGUUUAUAAAAAUAUUUUGAACACACCAGAAUAUUAGUUGGAAUAUUUCCAACCAUUCCUGAAGUUUUCAACAUUUUUGAAAACUUAAAAGUUUUUGAAUUCAAAUGUAAACUUGAAUUCAGUGGCUUUUUGUAUUUGAACAAAAUUCCAAAUCUGUUUUUAAAAUAGUUUUCUUCCCUGAUUAUUUGUUUUCAUGAAUUAUCAGAAAAGUUGAACUUUUCUUGAGGCCAUUUUGGGUUCGAUGAUUUUGACAAGUUUUUGAAUUUCCUUUAAAUUGAGAAGUGGCUAGGGUUUUUUUUUGGGUUUUGCUUCACCACUUUCUUUGAUCUUGUUGCAAUUUUCUUGGAUGCAAUGCAAAGAAGAUAUGAGCACAAUGCUAAACUUUGGUUAGGGUUCCAGGGAUGUGACAAGUAGACCCGGGGGCCAUAGUGUUCACUAGAGGCUUCUCUCAUGAUAGCAAGUAUUACGGUGGGUGAACGAAUUACUGUCGAGCAAUUGAUAGAACCGCGCAAAGUCAUGACGAUAUCUAAGGCAAUGAUCAUACAUAUAGGCAUCACGUCCGAGACAAGUAGACCGAUACUUUCUGCAUCUACUACUAUUACUCCACACAUCGACCGCUAUCCAGCAUGCAUCUAGUGUAUUAAGUUCAUGACAAACGGAGUAACGCCUUAAGAAAGAUGACAUGAUGUAGAGGGAUAAAUUCAUGCAAUAGAUAUAAACCCCAUCUUUUUACCCUUGAUGGCAACAACACGAUACGUGCCUUGCUACGCCUUCUGUCACUGGGUGAGGUCACCGCACGGUAUGAACCCGAAACCAAGCACUUCUCCCAUUGCAAGAAUUAUAGAUCAAGUUGGCCAAACGAAACCCACAACUCGAAGAGAAUUACAAGGAUAUGAAAUCAUGCAUAUAAGAGAUCAGAAGAAACUCAAAUAAGAUUCAUCGAUAAUCUGAUCAUAAAUCCACAAUUCAUCGGAUCUCGACAAACACACCGCAAAAGAGGAUUACAUCGGAUAGAUCUCCAUGAAGAUCAUGGAGAACUUUGUAUUGAAGAUCCCAGAGAGAGAGAGAAGAAUCCAUCUAGCUACUAGCUAUGGACCAGAAGGUCUAUGGUGAACUACUCACGCAUCAUCGGAGAGGCCAUGGUGUUGAUGGAGUAGCCCUCCAUGUCCAAAUCCCCCCUCCGGCAGGGCACUAGAACGUGCCCCAGAUGGGAUCUUGCGGAGACAGAAGCUUGCGGCGGCGGAAAAGUAUUUUCGUAGCUCCCUUCCGUGGUUUCAGAUUUUUCAGGGAUUUCUAGGCGGAAGAACUAGGGCAGGGGAACUAGAGGGGCCCCACAAGCCUGCUAGGCCCGCCCCCUAGGCCGGGCCUGGGUGGCUUAUGACCUCCUCCGAGGUCCCCUGCCUUAGUUCUCAAGUCUCCUGCGUGUCUUCUGUUAUGGAAAAAAUCAUUCCGCACGUCUUAUUCCGUUUGGACUCCGUUCAAUAUUCUCCUCUGAAAAAGGUCAAAAACACGAAAAAACAGGAACUCGCACUUGGCACUGAAUUAAUAGGUUAGUCCCAAAAAAGAUAUAAAAUAGCAUAUUCAUCCAUACAAAACAUCCAAAGAUGACAAGAUAAUAGCAUGGAACCAUCAAAAAUUAUAGAUAUGUUGGAGACGUAUCAAGCAUCCCCAAGCUUAACUCCUGCUCGUCCGCAAGUAGGGAAGUGAUAAAGACUGAAUUUUUGAUGUGGAAUGCUACCUAACUUAUUUGUCCUUUGUAACUUCUUUCAUGUGACAUGAAUGUUCAGAUCCGUAAGAUUCAAAACAAUAGUUUGCUAUUGACAUGAAAACAAUAAUACUUCAAGCAAACUAGCAAGGUAAUCAUGAACUUUCGAAAUAACAAGGGCAAAGAGAGUUAUACCUACAAAAUCAUAUAGUCUGGCUAUGCUCCAUCAUCCCCACACAAAGAAUUUAAAUCAUGCACAACCCCGGUAUUGGCCAAGUAAUUGUUUUCGCAUUCUUAAUUUCUCAAACUUUUUCAACUCUCACGCAAUACAUGAGCGUGAGCCAUGGAUAUAGUACUAUAGGUGGAAUAGAGUGUGGUGGAGGUUGUGAGGCAAAAAGGAGGAGAUGGUCACAUUGACUCGGCGUAUGAAAGGGCUAUGGAGAUGCCCAUCAAUAGAUAUCAAUGUGAAUGAGUAGGGAUUACCAUUUAACGGAUGCACGAGAGCUAUAAGUAUGUGAAAGCUCAAAAGAAGAACUAGUGGGUGUGCAUCCAACUUGCUUGCUCACGAAGACCUAGGGCAAUUUUGAGGAAGCCCAUCAUUGGAAUACACAAGCCAAGUUAUAUAAUGAAGAUUCCCACUAGUAUAUGGAAGUGUCAAAACAAGAGACUUUCUAUCAUUAAGAACAUGGUGCUAUUUCAAAGCACAAGUGUGGAAAAAGAUAAUAGCAUUGUCCCUUCUCUCUUUUCUCUCAUUUUUUUCAUUUUUUUUGUUUGAGCUCUUUGGCCUCUUUCCAUAUUUUUUUGUGGGCAACUUUGACCUUUUUUUUAUUUCCUCACAUGGGACAAUGCUCUAAUAGUGAUGAUCAUCACACUUUUAUUUACUCACAAUGCAACACUUAGAACAAUGAUGACUUUAUAGGAAAUGCCUCCGGCAGUGUACCGGGAUGUGCAACGAUCUAGCUUAGCAUAUGACGUUGAAACAUCUCUUUAGCUAUCUUACAAUCAUGCAAUGGCAAUAUGAAAGUUACGGCACAUGUCAUGAGACGGAACGAUGGGAGUUGCAUGGGAAUAUAUCUCAGAAUGGCUAUGAAAAUGCCAUCAUAGGUAGGUAUGGUGGCUGUUUUGAGGAAGGUACAUGGUGGCUUUGUGCACCGGCAAAAAUUGCACGGCACUAGAGAGGCUAGCAAUGGUGGAAGGUGAAAGUGCAUCUAUACCAUGGACUCACAUUAGUCAUGUAGAACUCAUAUACUUAUUGUGAAAGUUUUUAUUAGUAAUCGAAACAAAGUGCUAAACACAUACUCCUAGGGGAAGGAUUGGUAGGUGUUAACCAUCGCGCGAUCCCGACUGCAACACAAAGGAUGACAAUCAAUAAUCAAUUAUGCUCCGACUUCCUAACAUAGCGGUUCACCAUACGUGCAUGCUACGGGAAUCACUAACUUCAACACAAGUAUUUCUAGAUUCACGACACCCUACUAACAUAACUCUAAUAUUACCAAAUCCAUGUCUCAAAACUAACUGAGAGGAAUCAAACUUCUCUUUAUAAUCAAUGCACAUGAAUAUGGAAGUUUUUAUUACAUCCUCUUUGGAUGCCUAUCAUCUUUAGGACUACUUUCAUAGCACAAGCCAAUUACUCAGCUACUCAAAGAGAGCACUCUCAAAAAGAUAUAAGUGAAGAUCGAGAGUUCUUAUUUCUCCAAAAUAUGACACCACCAUGCUCUAAAAAGAUCUAAGUGAAGCACUUAGAGCAAAGUUAUCUAGCUCAAAAGAUAUAAGUGAAGCACAUGUGAGCUAAAUUGCCUAACUCAAAUGAUAUAAGCGAAGCUCAAUGAGUAUUCUAGCAAAUUCACGAUGUGUGCAUGUCUCUCUCGAAAGGUGUGCAGCAAGGAUGAUUGUGACACAACAAAAAGAAAAGACUCCUAUAAUACAUGACACUCCAAGAAAAACACAUAUCAUGUGGUGAAUAAAAAUAUAGCUCCAAGUAACGUUACCGAUGGAUUGAAGACGAAAGAGGGAAUGCCUUCCCGAGGCAUCCCCAAGCUUAGGCUUUUUGGUGUCCUUGAAUUUGGCUUGGGAUGCCUUGGGCAUCCCCAAGCUUGAGCUAUUUCCACUCUUUAUCCCAUUGUCCAUGAGAACAUCACCCAAAACUUGAAAACUUCACAACACAAAACUUAAAGAGAAACUCAUGAUAUCAUUAGCACAAGAAAACAAACUACCACCUCUUUAGGUACUGUAGCAAACUUGAUUUAUAUUUAUAUUGGUGUUAGAUUACUGUAUUCUCACUUUUCCAUGGCUAGUACCUCCCGAUACUAUCCAUAGUUUCAUCAAAAUAAGCAAUCAACACAACAAAAACAGAAUCUGUCAAAAAGAGACCAGUUUGUAGCAAUCUGUAUACUUCGUAUACUUCUAUUAUCUCAAGAAUUCUGAAAAAUUACGACAAUUUGGGAAAUUGGCAUAUCAACCAGCAGCAAAAAGAAUCAACUCAAAAUCUCUUUCUGGAUAAAAAUGAAAAAUAAGUUCGUCGGCGAAAACUUUCUGUCCUUUUCAGCAAGAUCAAACAACCAUCACCAAAACUGAUCAUAAAGGUUUUACUUGGCUCAAACACAAAAAGAAACACAAAAAAAAUCAUAACGUAAUUAUGAUGGUGUGGACACAACAAAACAGAAAGCAAAAAGCAAAGAUAAAUUCAUUGGGUUAUCUCCCAACAAACGCUAUUGUUUAACGCCCUUAGUUAGGCAUAGAUAAUUCAAUGAUGCUCACAUAAAAGACAAGAAUUGAAGCACAACGAGAGCAUCAUAAAGCAUGUGAAAAUCACAUCUAAGUCUAACAUACUUCCUAUGCAUAGACAUUUUAUAGGAAAACAGAUUGUCAAGACAACCAAUAAUUACCAUAUGCAAGGAAGAAGAAAGAGACAAUAUCUAUCUCAACAUAACGAGAGGUGAUUUCGUAACAUGAAAGUUUCUACCACAAUAUUUUCCUCUCUCAAAGCAAUUACAUGUGGGAUCAUAAUCAAAUUCAACAAUAUAUAUAUCACAAAGGAUAUUCUUUUCAUGAUCCACAUGCAUGCAAAAUUGACGCUCUUAAAAAAUAGUGGGAUUUUCAUCAACUAAAGUCAUGACUUCUCUAAACCCACUUUCAAUAUUAUUGCAAACAUCAUAAUCAUCAUGAGGGUUAAACAAAUUUUCAAGAUCAUAAGAAAAAUUAUCACCCCAAUCACGAUCAUUACAACAAGUAGUGGACAAAGAAAAACUAGCAUCCCCAAGCUUAGGGUUUUGCAUAUUUUUAGCAUGAUUGUCAUUAAUAGAAUUUAUAAUGAAAUCAUUGCAAUCAUGCUUUUCAUUCAAGGAACCAUCGUGAAUCACUUCAUAAAUUUCUUCAUCAUGAUUUUCAGAUUCACGCAUCUCAAGCAAAACUCCAUAGAGAAAGUCAAGUGCACUCAACUCACUAGCAAUUGGAUCAACAUAAUUGGAUCUCUUAAAGAGAUUAGCAAGUGGAUGAGGAUCCAUAUCAACAGAUUUUCAGCAAGCAAAGAUGCAAGCAUAUUUAAGGCACAUAGCACACAAGCAACGGAAAGGUAAACGAAAAAGGCAAAUAUUUUUGUAAUUUUUGUUUUUCAGAAGUGGGGGAGAGGAAAACGAGAGGCAAAAAAAGUAAAUGCAAGAGAUGAGUUUGCGACAGUUACUUGGAUAAGCUUCAGUUAAAAUAGUCCCAGUGCCAGAAAUUGACACUUUGGAGGAAGACUAUUCUUGACUUGAUACUCCCCGACAACGGCGCCGGAAAUUGGCAUGUUGACGGGAGACUAUUCUUGACUUGAUCCUCCUCCCCGGCAACGGCGCCAGAAAUUGGCACGUUGACGGGAGACUAUUCUUGACUUGAUCCCCCCCCGGCAACGGCACCAGAAAUUGGCACGUUGACGGGAGACUAUUCUUGACUUGAUCCUCCUCCCCGACAACGGCGCCAGAAAUUCUUCUUGCUAGCUCUUGAGCUUGCGUUGGUUUUCCCUUGAAGAGGAAAGGGUGAUGCAGCACAGUAGCAGUAAGUAUUUCCCUCAGUUUGAGAACCAAGGUAUCAAUCUAGUAGGAGUAUCAAGGCAAGUCUCCAAAGUACCUGAGCAAAAACAGCAAACUUGCACCCAACGCUACAAAGGGGUUGUCAAUCCCUUCACGACUGAUUGCAAGGUGAGAUCUGAAGGCGGAAAGUGCAACAAAGUAAAUGUGUAAGGCUGAAAAUAUAAUGUGAAGUAGACCCGAGGGCCAUAGUGUUCACUAGAGGCUUCUCUCAUGAUAGCAAGUAUUAUGGUGGGUGAACGAAUUACUGUCGAGCAAUUGAUAGAACCGGGCAAAGUCUUGACGAUAUCUAAGGCAAUGAUCAUACAUAUAGGAAUCACGUCCGAGACAAGUAGACCGAUACUUUCUGCAUCUACUACUAUUACUCCACACAUCGACCGCUAUCCAGCAUGCAUCUAGUGUAUUAAGUUCAUGACAAACGGAGUAACGCCUUAAGAAAGAUGACAUGAUGUAGAGGGAUAAAUUCAUGCAAUAGAUAUAAACCCCAUCUUUUUACCCUUGAUGGCAACAACACGAUACGUGCCUUGCUACGCCUUCUGUCACUGGGUGAGGUCACCGCACGGUAUGAACCCGAAACCAAGCACUUCUCCCAUUGCAAGAAUUAUAGAUCAAGUUGGCCAAACGAAACCCACAACUCGAAGAGAAUUACAAGGAUAUGAAAUCAUGCAUAUAAGAGAUCAGAAGAAACUCAAAUAAGAUUCAUAGAUAAUCGGAUCAUAAAUCCACAAUACAUCGGAUCUCGACAAACACACUGUAAAAUAGGAUUACAUCGGAUAGAUCGCCAUGAAGAUCAUGGAGAACUUUGUAUUGAAGAUCCAAGAGAGAGAAGAAGCCAUCUAGCUAUUAGCUAUGGACCCGAAGGUCUAUGGUGAACUAGUCACGCAUCAUCGGAGAGGCAAUGGUGUUGAUGGAGAAGCUUUCCGUGUCCAAAUCCCCCUCCGGUAGGGCACUAGAACGUGCCCAGAUGGGAUCUUGCGGAGACAGAAGCUUGCGGCGGCGGAAAAGUAUUUUCGUGGCUCCCUUUCGUGGUUUCAGAUUUUUCGGGGAUUUAUAGGCGUAAGAACUAGGGCAGGGGAGCCACGGGGGGGCCACAAGCCUGCUAGGCCCACCCCCCCUAGGCCGGGCCUCGGUGGCUUGUGACGUCCUCCGAGGUCCCGUGCCUUGGUUCUCAAGUCUCCUGCGUGUCUUGUGUUGUGGAAAAAAUCAUUCCGCAUGUUUUAUUCCAUUUGGACCCCGUUCAAUAUUCUCCUCUGAAAAAGGUCAAAAACACGGAAAAAACAGGAACUAGCACUUGGCACUAAGUUAAUAGGUUAGUUCCAAAUAAUAUAUAUAAUAGCAUAUUGAUGCAUACAAAACAUCCAAAGAUGACAAGAUAAUAGCAUUGAACCAUGUAGAUAGUUGGAGACGUAUCAGCUGCCUUGGGCAAGCCCUCAGAGCUGUGGGAACCUGGGUGAGAAGGUGUCCUCUUAGGACUUGUUCCUGAAUCCAUCUCAACAUUAUAUUCCCUGAAGUUAUUCUGGCUAUCCUCAGAAUCAGACAUCCUGGUAGUCAAAGUAGACAAGCAACCAACAGACCAACACAUAAGCAACCCGAUAAAAUAGAUAUAGAAGAGCAGAAGGGUUGAGCAUCACAAAACACAGAAGAGUUCUUCAAAAUUUGAAUUUAGAAAGUUAGAAUAUGAUCUUGUGCAGAAUAUAAAUUGGUAGUACGAGGUUGGUCAUUUCGGAGUCACCGAGAUCAAUCACUCGCAUAACAGACACUUGGCAGUCUUUUCGGUGUCACCGAAAAGAACUACUCGGUCUCACCGAAAUGUUUCUGACGAACCCUAAAACCAGGGCCGACUCUAGCCCUAGGCGAACAUGGGCGAUGCCCAAGGUGUUGGAAAUAUGCCCUAGAGGCAAUAAUGAAUUAGUUAUUAUUAUAUUUCUUUGUUCGUGAUAAUCGUUUAUUAUCCAUGCUAUAAUUGUAUUGAUUGGAAACUCAAAUACAUGUGUGUAUACAUAGACAAAACACUAUCCCUAGUAAGCCUCUAGUUGACUAGCUCGUUGAUCAAAGAUGGUCAAGGUUUCCAGACCAUAGACAAGUGUUGUCGCUUGAUAACGGGAUCACAUCAUUAGGAGAAUCAUGUGAUGGACUAUACCCAAACUAUGAAGAUAGCAUGUGAUCGUGUCAUUUUGUUGCUAUUGUUUUCUACGUGUCAAGUAUUCAUUCCUAUGAUCAUGAGAUCAUGUAACUCACUAACACCGCAGGAAUACCUUGUGUGUAUCAAACAUCACAACGUAACUGGGUGACUAUAAAGGUGCUCUACAGGUAUCUUUGAAGGUGUCCGUUGAGUUAGCAUGGAUCAAGACUGGGAUUUGUCACUCCGUGUGACGGAGAGGUAUCUCGGGGCCCACUCGGUAAUUAAACAUCACACACAAGCCUUGCAAGCAAUGUGACUCAAGUGUGAGUCACGGGAUCUUGUAUUACAGAACGAGUAAAGAGACUUGCCGAUAACGAGAUUGAAAUAGGUAUAGGGAUACCGACGAUCAAAUCUCGGGCAAGUAACAUACCGAAGGACAAAGGGAAUGAUAUACGGGAUUAUAUGAAUCCUUCGCAGAAAGAUUCAACUGAUAAGAUCUUCGUAAAAUAUGUAGGAUCCAAUAUGGGCAUCAAGGUCCGGCUAUUGCAUAUUGACCGAGAAGUGUCUCGGGUCAUGUCUACAUAGUUCUCGAACCCGCAGGGUCUGCACACUUAAGGUUCGAUGAUGUUUUAGUAUAGUUGGAUUAUAUGUGUUGGUGACCGAAGGUUGUUCGGAGUCCCAGAUGAUAUCACGGAUGUCACGAGGGUUUCUGGAAUGGUCCGGAAAUGAAUAUUGAUAUAUAGGAAGUUGGUGUUUCGAUUCCGGAAGGUUUUCGGGCAUUGCCGGCAGUGUACCGGGAGUGACGAAUGGGUUCCGUAUAUAUAGGUGGCUCUCUCUCAGAAAAAUGAAUUUGGCAAUGAAGUGUGUGUUUUGAGUGCUUCCUCUACGAAUGAGAGGUAGGUGGAGGGUUAUAUAUAGGCAACACCCAAAAUCCAACCGUUACACCUAAAGUGACAAACUCGGUGACACUGAAGUCAUAAACUCGGUGGUACCGACUUGCACAAAAGGGGCAACUUUUGAAUCUCGGUGAGACCGAUAUACACAACUCAGUGGAACCGAAAAGGUGGAUAACGGUCAGAUGAGCCAACUCGGUAUCACCGAUACUCAAACUUGGAAAUUCCGAUUUUGUGUACCGAGGCAACAGAAAGUUGGUCACCUAAACUCGGUAGCACCGAUGCAGAAUCGGUUGUACCAAAAUGGUAGGUUUGGCUAGGGUUCUGUUUGGGUUGAAAAUCGGUACGGCCGAAUCUGAAAACUUUGUGGCACCGAUUUUGGAUAUCUGGCUCUGGACAGAAAUGUUAUGUGGGAAAAUGAGUGAGUAUUUUUGGUGGCUAUCUCUGAGCACUUGAGCAGCCAAUUCAUUUUAAUACCUCGCCCCCUUUUAAUAGUAUUGGCUUUCGUAUGGACUCAAAAGUGAUUUCUCACAAAUAUAAAAUGAAGAGUCUUGUUGCUUGAAGCUUGAGCCAAUCUUAUUCCUUUCUUGCAUCCAGGUGCAUCUCCACAUAAGCUUUUAACCAAUGCAUCUUUUGAACUUUUCUGAAAUAUACUUGGAUAGAAUCAUUAGUCCAAUGAUGCAUAUGUUGUGAUCAAUUAUCAAAACCACCUUAGGGAGCAAUUAUGCUUUCACAUACUUUUCUUUAUAUAUAUAUAUAUAUAACUUUUCUUUAUAUUUAUACGUUAUAAAAAUGAAAUAAGGUUCAUGUUUCACCUUCCCUUCAUCCAACCUUUCUCUUCUUUCAUUUUAGUUUUUAUUCCUCCCAUCUCACAUCAUUCUCCCAAUGGGUUUCCCUAAAACCAACUCAAUUGGCCCAUGUCUAGACUAAAAUUAUAUUCCACGUCUUAUCAACAUAUCAAAAUAAAUGUCUAACAAUAAGUUGGCAAAGUAAAUCCCGAUGAUUGAGUACAAAAGCUUACUAAGAUUUAUUGAUCAAUGUAAUAACAAUGAGCUCAUUAUCUAGUAUUAUUUCAAUAAAAUGCCGAGGCAUGGUUUAUUUUGCUAUAACAUUGCUCUAUAUAGUAAACGUGUGUAUUUACAGAAAGUGCAAACGAACUAUAAUUUCUAAGAAAAAAAUAAAUGGGAUGCAUAGACGCUGCAUUAUUUUGUCAAACAACCGAGCGAAUGGACUCUAAAUUCUGAAAAAUGGGUUGAAUUCUUGUAACAUAUUCGGAGUCUGACAUGCAGGCCAACAAGUCAAAGCCUACGCAAGUCUUUGUAAACUUAGUCAACAAAUAAUUCUCGCAUCCAUGGCCGUUAGAUGUAAUCCAAUGGCCGACAUGCAUCUUCAAUCUCCCGAGUUCUUCCUCCUUACACGUAGGUCUGUAUGCUUCCUCCUCCGGCGGCUAUUGGCGCUAUUUCGAACGCCUCGCUGUGAAAGCGCUACCCAACCAGAGGCCAUGUCGUCCCUUCACCUUUCCACACCUCAUGUUAUUCUUUGCCGAGAGCAGCCCCACGUCGCAACUAAACAGGUCAACCCUCAUACUCCUCUCCGUCUACGACUCCACUACUGCGUCUUCCCAAUCUCCAGGUUGUUCAUGUUCAGUCCCUCCCUGUCUUCCACCACCUUGAUGGCUUGAUGCGCUCGACGUGGCAUGGUCAACGUGGUUAACAGACGAGAAUCAUCGGAAUAGGAUUGUACGUGGAGAGGCUGAUAGUGGAUGCCCACCAGGUCUAUGGUCGCGCGCAUGCAACUCCCUCCUUAUUACGUAAAAAAAGAUCCCCAGUGACAGCUGGGACCCAUUAGGUUGAAGCAUACUAUUACUUGUGCGGCCCCAAUUAUACAUAUAGCAAAAAAGCACGUGCGUUGCAACGGAAGAGAAAAUAACACAUGCUUUGAACGUAAUAUAUUUUCACAAGACAUCACAUUUGUGUUAUCGACGAUGGCCUGAGUGCUCACACAACGAAAACGAGUUUGAAUGUACAAUCACUCGGAAUAAGAUGAGAAAUUUGUUGUUUGUCCCCACGAGAUUUUCCAAAGGUGUGCAUGUGUGGUUAAGAUGUUUCCUUUCCUCUCAAUUUGGUUUUAAUUUAAUGGAUAUUUAUUGCAAUUCCUAUGGUCGUCGGAAAGAGAGAAAAAAAGACCGUGCACUACAGAUUAAGUAUGCACCAAAAAUAAUAUUUAAAAAGUAUUCAACAGCUAAAAAUAACAUCCUAUUUAGAUUCUACACAUUUUUUCAAUCAAAUUUCAUAUAUAACAUGUUAAAAUCGGAGUUACGAUUUAAAAGAUAUGGAUAAUUUUGUUUUAGAUAAAAUAUGGAUUGAUUAACUGAAAAGUCAGUUUUUUUUUUGUUAAAACAAAAAAACGUUUCGGCUGACUUAAAUAGGGACGGCGGGUUGAUUACCUGAAACAUCGGGAAGUUUUCUGUAAAAUGCAAAAAAAGGUUCGGUUCUGACUAAAAGAUGGACUGCGGGUUGAUUAUCUAAAACUGUGAGGACUUUUCUGCAAAACGAUAGAAAACGGUUCGUUCUGACUUAAAGUUGAACUGCGGGUUAAUUAACUGAAACUGCGAGGGCUUUUCUGCAAAAUGACCGACGACGGACGACAGAAGCAUUACGCGCUUUAUUAUUAGGGGAGAUUGCUUUGUGUCCAACGAUGGACCACGGUGGAGUAAAUCGUGUCUAGGUUAUAAAGUCCCGUCUAAAUCUUGUACACGCACGGACAACCAUGCUGCAAAAAAUACGGGCACAUACGUACAUAUGAUACGUCUCCGUCGUAUCUAUAUUUUUUGAUUAUUUUAUGUCAAUAUUCUAUAAUUUUCAUAUACUUUUGGCAACAUUUUACAUUAUAUUUGGGACUAACUUAGUUAUUCAGUGUUCAAUGUGAGUUCCUAUUUUUUGUGUGUUUUUUGUUUUGGAGAAAAGACAUAACGUACAAAGUCCAAAUGCGAUAAAAUUUACGUAUAUUAUUUUGGAAUACAUGUGAAUUUUGGGAAGAAGAAUUAAUGCAACAUGGUGACGGAUGGACCCACAAGCCAACAGGGCGCAACUAGGGGGUGGCCGCGCCCUCAUAGCUUGUGGCCACCCCUUAAGUUAGUUUGGACCCUACUUUUGCCGUAAGAAAGAUAAUUUUCUGAUAAGAAACCCCUCAAAAUUUCAGCCCAAUCAGAGUUACGAAUCUCAAUAUAAUUAAGAAACGGUAAAGGGGUUAGAAAAUUGUCGCAAAAAAAGAAGAGAGACAGAGAGAGAUCCGAUCUCACACGGGCUNNNNNNNNNNNNNNNNNNNNNNNNNNNNNNNNNNNNNNNNNNNNNNNNNNNNNNNNNNNNNNNNNNNGGAGCCGUGGAAGCUAUGGACUAGAGGGGAAGCUCUCCUCCCAUCUAGGGUGAAGACCAAGGAACAAGAAGAAGAAGGAGGGGGAAUCUCCCCCCUCUCUCCUUGAGGCGCCGGAGCACCGUCGAGGCAACCAUCAUGACGGUGAUCUACACCAACAACUUCGCCGCCAUCACCACCAACUCCCCCCUCUAUGAAGACAUGUAAAACCUAUCUUCCCCGCUGUACUGUCUACUUAAACAUGGUACUUAAUGCCAUAUAUUAUUAUACAAUGAUGUGUGGCUAUCCUAUAAUAUUUGAGUAGAUUUCUUUUGUCCUAUGGGUUGAUUGAUGAUCGUGAUAUGUUUGAGUAUAUUUUUUAUUUUGGUGAUGUCCCAUGGUGCCUUCCGUGUUGCACACAUGUGGAGGAUUUCCUCUAUAGCAUUUUGCAAUAUGUUCAAGAUUAGCUUAUAGUGGGUUGCAUGAGUGACUAAAACACAAACACGAGUAAGGGGGGUUGUUUGUUUAUGGGAGUAAAGAGGACUUGAUGUUGAAUUAUAUGGUUGAGUUUACCUUAAUAAUUUCUAGUAGUUGCAGAUGCUUGCUAGAGGUCCAGUCAUAAGUUCAUGCGAUCCAAGUACAGAAAUGAUCUUAGCGUAUGCCUCUCCCUCAUACUCCCUCCGUCCCAAAAUAAUGUUCGAAUUAUGCCGUAGAGGCAAUGAUAAAUAAGUUAUUAUUAUAAUUCCUGUAUCAAGAUAAUCGUUUAUUAUCCAUGCUAUAAUUGUAUUGAAUGAAGACUUAGAUACAUGUGUGGAUACAUAGACAAAACACUGUCCCUAGCAAGCCUCUAGUUGGCUAGCCAGUUGAUCAAGGAUAGUCACGGUCUUCUGACUAUGUACAAGGUGUUGUUGCUUGAUAACUGGAUCACGUCAUUGGGAGAAUCAUGUGAUGGGCUAGACCCAAACUAAUAGACGUAGCAUGUUGAUCGUGUCAUUUUGUUGCUACUUUUUCUGCGUGUCAAGUAUUUAUUCCUAUGACCAUGAGAUCAUAUAACUCACUGACACCGGAGGAAUGCUUUGUGUGUAUCAAACGUCGCAACGUAACUGGGUGACUAUAAAGAUGCUCUACAGGUAUCUCCGAAGGUGUUCGUUGAGUUAGUAUGGAUCGAGACUGGGAUUUGUCACUCCGUGUGACGGAGAGGUAUCUCGGGGCCCACUCGGUAAUACAACAUCACACACAAGCCUUGCAAGCAAUGUGACUUAGUGUAAGUUGCGGGAUCUUGUAUUACGGAACGAGUAAAGAGACUUGCGGGUAAACGAGAUUGAAAUAGGUAUGCGGAUACUGACGAUCGAAUCUCGGGCAAGUAACAUACCGAAGGACAAAGGGAAUGACAUACGGGAUUAUAUGAAUCCUUGACACUGAGGUUCAAACGAUAAGAUCUUCGUAGAAUAUGUAGCAUCCAAUAUGGGCAUCCAGGUCCCGCUAUUGGAUAUUGACCGAGGAGUCACUCGGGUCAUUUCUACAUAGUUCGCGAACCCGCAGGGUCUGCACACUUAAGGUUCGACGUUGUUUUAUGCGUAUUUGAGUUAUAUGGUUGGUUACCGAAUGUUGUUCGGAGUCCCGGAUGAGAUCACGGAC